AUCCCCAAGUCUUCUCGAUAUUAUCUUCAUCCGAUUCGCCCAAAACCACUUCUUCCGAUUGAUUUUCGAAGGGCUUCAACUUAAUAUUUUCCUCCACUUUCUUAUUGUCCUUGAAGAGGUUUACCUAUGGUGCAUUAUCAUUUUUUUACACCAUCAACCCCGACAACAUUUUAUCCUUGUUGGUUCUUCAAUUCUGUCGUAUGUGACUCAAAAUCAGAUUUCUCAGAUUCCGUAUCGUCUUUCCCAAGUGUUAAUGAUACACUAAGCGAGGAUAAAUUCUUCUUAUUAUUCUCAACCAAACUGAGCUUCAAAGGGACGUCAACACCAUUUCUAACAUCCAACUACCGAACUUUCCGGGGUUUGAGAGGUGCUAGCCCAAUUUCUUGCCCAUUCAAAAUAGAAAACGACACCACAAUAGCCUAGCAAGAGAGAUAGCUGGGCAAGGAAGCCCAUGUCCAGAUGAAAAGACCCAAUGGGAAAUUUAAAUAACCCAAAAGACCAGGCCAAACAAGCCUAAAAGGAGGGGAUUUGGGUCGGGUCAGUAGGGAAUCCAGAAAAGCCAAAAAGGAAACUGCAAAUAAUCCAUAAGGCUGCGAAUUCGGAGUGCCAAACACUGACCUAAGAAAGAAAUCUGAAAGGUAGGCUAACCAAAUUCAAAAUUCAACCUUGAUUCAACCUGCACAAAUACAUACACAAUAUGCAAUAUGUAAAAACACCAAGAACACACAACAAAGAGAAACACCAAGAACAUGAACUGGAAAAAUUCGAUAGCCAAGGAUAAAAUCCAAAACUGGACAGAAACAACCAAAUAAGAUGAAGAACCGUUGGUUGCCCAAAAAUACAUCGAAAAACUGAAGUACUCAACACCGAACUACAAGAAAAGUUUAGACCAAGUCGAACAAGCAAAAAGAUAACCAAAACUACGAGCUGGAACUAAAUAAAAAGACUAGUAGAAACCACAACUGCCUGAAGCCAAAUCAAACCUGGAAUAUCCAACCGAAGUAGCCCCCAGUCCAAACCCAGCUGGACAAAACUGAGAAGCACUUGGCCGUAUCUCAAGGAACCAAACACAAGUUGAAGCUAACUAGAACCCCAGUAGACCUCAAACUGCCUUGAACGAAUUGUAAGGACACAGCAACCGAAUCUGACAAAGGCAGCGACAACUAGACUGAAGGUAGCUUGCUUGAACAUUGAACAUUGCCUUGAAUAUUGAUCGAAACUGAACUGAAAUACCAAACUGUAACUUUCAAACUUAGCAAAUCUGCACCUAAAGACGGAUUAAAGCCAGUAUGCUUAAUUCAAUUUUCACUGAGAAAAAGUAAAAAUCGAACCAAACACAUUAGGAGACUCAAGAAACAAGGCAUUCAAGUGGGAUUUUCUCUCACUAGAAUUUAGAUCUUUUCUAUCUAACCUUGACUACUUGUCUUUACACUUAUCAGCCCUGCUAGAAGUGGUCUCAAUAGGGAAGGGAACUGAGAGGGAGGAGGUAUUGGAAGGCGGGAGGUGUCCCCAAAAUGCACUCAUUUGAAGAGUGGCCCCAAUGUCUAUAAUAAAAGCAAAAUACUGGCCUCUUCUCACAGAUCACCGACUGCCAAAAGCCACAAUUAUCACCUCACUCAAUCCAAAUUGUACCUGGUAAUCAUUGCUCCAAGUUUUACCUCAGUACAUUACCUUGCCUUACUAGGUCAUGACAAAUUCCAGGUGGCCUCAUCAAUCCUCAAUGGUAUAUCCCUAUAGCUCUAGAUAAAGUAAAUAGGAACCCCUUACUACACAUAUGAAUAGGUAAUAAAGAAAUUAGACCUAAACUGGAGUAACAAGCAUAUCAUGUUUAGGUCAAAAUCACAUGUCCAUUUAAGGACUCUUAUUGGGCACCCAUCAAUAUACCAUGAAGUCUUAAGAAAUAAUCUAAUAUAGUCUUCUUCAUGUGUAAGAUGUAUCAAUAUGUGUAAAGUAUCACUAAGCCCCAACUCAAAUCUAUCAUGGAAACCUAACUUUUGAAAAUUCUCACUUAUCUUUCUCAUGAUAGGCUUGCGAUAGCAGAAUUUCCCUAUAAGCGUGAACUUGUAGUGUUCACGUAGUAUAGCUUCCUUCAAAUUUAUCAAAUCGAUGGUUGGCUCAUCCCAAGUAUGUAUAGGAUUCAUUUGUAAUUGGUGCCUGUAAAACUGAAGUAAACGACUUCUUUGACUACUUUUUACAUGAAACACCAAAGACCAAAAAUUGCAUUAGCAUAGGUCUUUCGAUGCUGAUUGAGCAAAGAGUGGGCCUCAUGUGCAGGGGCAAAUCCAGGAGUUUGAGUAAGCACGGGCGACCGUCGACCAUCUAACGUUGGUCGCAAUAAAAUAUUAAAAAUCCUUCGAUAUCUAUAUUUUUUUUUUUUGCAAAAAAAUGUAUUUUGGAAUGGUGAUUUGAUGGAGAACGUGUGAUUAAAAAUAAAGAAAAAUUUUGAAUUUACGUGUAAUAUUAUUUUAUUGAAGAACGUAUGCAUGAAAAGAUGAAAGAAAAAAGUAGUUUUAAAAAAGGGGGAAUUGAACAAGGUCUAAAGUAUAAAUAUAACAAUUAUUUUAUUCAAACUGAAUAUAUAUAAUUCUGUUAUAAGAAUAAAUAGAAUUCAUCAAAUAACAUUGUUGCUAAAUUUUGUAUAAUUCAAAGGAAGAGUGUGAAUUCGAGUAUUUAAAAUUGUUUGCAUCAAAACAAUUAAAAUCUAACAAAUAUCAUUUUGUUAAAUUUAGUAAUCCAAUUCAAGAGGUACCAUAAUGGUUAAGUUUACCACAAUUAUUGCUUCAGAUCAUGGGUUCAAAUCCUCAUUGUCCCUCCCUUAUAGAAUUUUGGUAAAAAUUAUAAAAUAAAAAUAAUACAUAACAAAUCCAUUGACAAGGAUUCGAACCUAAGAGUUGAUGCAUAUUAAGAUUGACUCUCACCAAGUAAGCUACAUGGGAUGUUUGAGAAUAAAAUCAAUUAUAAAAAAUAUAAUGUAAAAAUUUAAUCUAUUAAUAACAAAAAUAAAAAUAAAAAAUCCCGGCGGAUCCAGCUAGGGCGGCUGCCCUAGCUGGCCGCCCUCUGGAUCUGCCACUGCUCAUGUGGAAAAAUCGAUGCUAAAUGAAUCUGGAUUAAUUGGAGGACACCGUGGAGAUUUUGUGUUGGUGCAUAUGGCCCACGUGUUGGUGGCUAUACAUCGACCCUAGGCAUGUCCCUUGCCAAUUUUUAUUUUUUAAUUUUUUAUUAUUUGCAAGUUGAUGCGGAAUUUCAUGUUGAUUCUGAUGGUCAUAGACGUGUAGCAAGUGGGGAUCCAUGGAAGGAGUUAUGCCUCGAUUUGUGGGCAGUGGCUCUUUUUUAUUGUAGGCCUCAAGUGCGUUCGUCUUUGUAAUGGAAUUGGCUUUUAUCGGUUUGGUCGGAAUUUGAUGGGCAACAAGAUGGUUAGGCAUAGGUGAUGUUCAGGUGGCUAGGUUGGAAGUAAUUUCUCAAUUAAUGUGUAAUUGCACAUUUUUCAAUACAAUAAUUUCGACCAAAUUGGAGGCCGACAACUCUAUCCUAUGGCUUUUUGGGCUUUCCGAGUUUUCGACUGAUGUUUUCCAUGAGUUUUCAAUUGUAAAUUUGAUGAUUUUGGGUCGGAUUUUACUGUUGGUGUUUGAGGAGAAGGAUUGUGGUGUGAUGGUGUUGGAUUUUUGUUGCUAGAGAUAGAGGAAUCCGGUGGUUUUGGUGGCAAAUCGAGUGUAUGGGAGAUUGGGCUCAUUUAUUCCAUUGUAGAGAAAAUGAAGAGUGUUUUAGAGAGAGAAAGUGAAAAGGUGCAAAUCGAUAAUAUAUUAAUGUCAAUUCUUUCUAAUUAUAUAGUUAGGGUGGAGUUUCCCAACCUUUCAUGUAGUGUGGUUAUGGGUUUCUAUCCUUCAAAAGUAAGAUUCAGAGUCCUCAUUAUUUAGACAAGUAAAUAUGGGUCGUUCAUCAUCGAAACUAUCGAUGUUGAUGUCAAAAUAGUAUGAGAAUUUUAAUAGUAUUAAAAAGAAACGUUAAUGUGUUUUAACAUUUCGAGUUUAACAUAUCAACUUUUAUCAUCAAUAUUGAUGUUUUCGAUAAUGAAAAAUUCAAAUUCAUAAUGGAGACUUUACGUUUGAAGAUUAUAGCCAACCCUAAAGAAUCUCCUUACUUCCACAUUCCAAUUUUCGAAAAACGAUUACUUCAAAUGUAGAACCCCACAAUUCAAAAAGUUUUCUUGAGCGGUAGGCGUCGAAUCUCCAACGGUAACAUACGUAAACACUUUUAUGGACCCAUCAUAGAGUUAAUUGGGCCCAGUUUGAGCUCCAAAGAAGAAACCUGUUUAGGUCCGAACAGAGGAUGGAGGGAGAAAGCUCGCAGCCAUUGCACAGAGGAGUUGAUAAUACCGGCUCCGGUCCAUCUGCAUCAUCUAUCCGGCUCCGGUCCAGACCGGACUCCUUCUUGAUCCUCUGGCGAUGCUUCAGCGUGAUUACUUCUCUGGCCGCGAUUCUCUGCAUUGCAGUCAAUGUUCUCUCUGCCGUCCGAUCUUUCAAGAACGGAUCAGAUGUAAUUUUGAAUUCUUUCGCUAUGUCUCAAUAUAAUUUGUUAUGCAAUCUAGGUAAGUCUAAGUUUUCCCUUUUUUUUCUUUUAAUUGUUGUAGAUAUUCGAUGGAAUAUUCCGUUGUUACGCGGUGGUGAUUGCAAUGUUUGUGGUGGUGGCGGAGACUGAAUGGGGAUUCAUUAUUAAAUUCUGGAAGGUUCGAUUUUUGUUAUCAACCUUUUAUUUAUUGUUCAAACUUGGUAUAUUGAGACUGAUUCUUGCAUAUUGAGCUAUGCCCAUGUAAGGCAAAUUAUUUAUUGUUUCAUGUUGUUUUAAUAAUGUUUUGAGUGAGGGAAUGAUACAUUAUUCACAUUUGUGCAAAUGCAAUUGCAAUAUAACUCUCCCACAUUGUGGUAUGACAAUAUACAUCAAAUAAGAAGUUACCUUUACCUUCUAAGCUUAAUAAAGUUACUUAUUUUGCCAACAGAACAAAUCCGAACUUAUGAAAAGUAACUUUUAAGCACAACGAGACAUGCUCCUUGAGUCUCAAGAUCAAGACUUUUAUUUGUUUCCUUAUAAUUUCCACUUUUCAAAUGGGAUAUGUAUCACUGGUGAUUCUGAAGUUUGCAAAAAUCAUAUUAGGAAUAACAUGUAAUGUGUGAACUACUUAUGUUCUCUUUCUUUGCGUUGCGUGCUUCCCUGUGGUUACGCAUCACUAGAUGUAUCAUUUUUUCCCUUUUAUAGAGAACAGAAUAAUCAUUAGAAAACUAAGAGAUGUAAAAUUUGAAAACUAUAACAUAAGCAGGCUUCUGAGAUCUUGGUGCAUAGAACUCAUCAGAUGACUUUUAGACCCAUCAGAAUAGUAAACAUUUUUGCCCCAUCGUUUGCUCGCUAUUAGUUAAAUCAUUAAUAAUAACAGAAAAAGGAUUUAAAUAAUAAAAAGAAAAACUGCGUUGAAGCAUAUAGAGGUAGUUUGUCAGAUGGGCUCGCCAUUGUACCUAUAGACCAGGCAUACUCCACAAUUUUUGGGUUUACCAGGCCAACCUAUCCAAGUUUUGGUGUUUUUUAUUUUCUUUUUCUGGCAUCCAAUGUGGGCCAUGGGCCUCAUCUCCUAUACGGCUAUACCCAAAGAGCCCACACACCGUCCCAGUGUGCUGGGCAAAAUGAGGAUCAGGCCAUCUCGCGCCUGGCUGCCCCUGCCUUUUUCACACCCCUGCCCUCAUCCAACCUACUGUUGCCCAAUUUUACAUUACCUUUUACAUGUGGCAUUUUGAUGAACUUUUUGAUGGAAUCCGUUGCAGAGAUCUGCUGGAUGCAAAAGUUGAAGGUGGAUACCCCUUUGCAAAGAAAUAUUGAAUGCAUGCUCAUUUAGCUACAUAAUAGGGACUGUGGAUUUUACAUAGCAAAAGGUAAUCAAUUUAAAGAAACCAAGAAUUAAUAAGAACUUGGAAAUGAGAGAGAAAUACCACAAAGAGGUAGGCACACAAAUGAAAAGAGAUGAAUGAUAUUAGACAGAUUGUAGCACGGAGGAGAAAGGCGGUGAAUUAUGAAAGGAAAACUAGAUGGGGACCUUCAAAUCAGGGUUACCAGGUAUUGAUUGGAGAGAACAAUGUAAGAACCCUGGAAUCAGAUAUGGGUUUUGGGAGAUGUUAAGAGAUCACUCUACCUUGUUUUUAAACCAGUAUAAAAGGCAUAGAAGAAGCACAUAUUACUAGUAGUCUAGUACUGUAUCUGUGAUGUGUUGGAAAGUUUGCAAUGGUUUUUGAACUGAUGUUUGUUUUGGUCCUUCUCAUUUGCUAUAUUGUUCCAGCUUAAAUUGUCUGCUUGAACUUCAUAUAGCAUUUAAUAUAUGGAUUUGAAUCUUCAUCACUAUGUUGCAGGUCCUAGAGUAUUGGGCUGGGAGGGGUAUGCUCCAGAUAUUGUACGUUUGACUUCUAAUUGAAGAUUUAAUAGAACAAACUCACACCUGUGCCCAUCUUUCCAUUAGUCUUCACUUGUUUAUGAACUGAAUUUUGGUUUUUAGUUAGAAGUCAUAUAGAUCUUACAUGGGGAUUUUUUAUUUUUAUUUUUAUUUUAUGUUAUUUUCUUUUUCCAGUGUUGCGGUAAUGACCAGGGCUUAUCCCGAGUACUUUGAAAAGCAUCAAGAGCUCUUUCUUCUCCAGAGCGUAGCCAGCUACCUGCUUCUUGCAUGUGGUGUGAUUUAUAUUAUAUCUGUAAGUUCAUGAAUCAUCAUUAUGAUAGACGAUAAUUUACUUUCCAAUCGGUGAUAACAUAUCUACUUGUUAAUCACUUGCUGCAACUCAGAAAUAUUUUUCUCUAAGUAUCACCAUUUUACAUGUCCAUAGUUAUAUAUUUCUUUUCUUUAGGUGAAUCAAAGUUGAUAUUUCAUCUAGUUAAACGAUGUGCUAUUUCAUUUCAUGUCUAACUGUACCCAUAUUAAUUUCAGAUGCAGGGUAAAUAUCUUUCCAAUAUGUUAUUUAUUGUUUUUUAGGGAAUAUUAUGCAUUGGUGUUUUUAAGCGUGCUCGCCAGAAGAAAGAAUUUUCUAGGGAUCAAGCAAUUAAGGAUCUCCAGGUAACCAUCUCGUGGCAAAAAGGCAAACAUCAUAUCUACUUUAUUGUGCAUCUACCUGCCCUUAGUGUAAAUCCAUUACUGAAACAUGCAGUUUUGUUCAUUUUAAUUGAUUCUAGUUCCCUUCCCAUCAAAAAAUAGGAAGAAAGAAGUACAGAUUAGUUUCUGGUCUAGCUGAUACAUGUUUUCUUCCCCUUCGUCUGUGUUUUUGCACGAUAUUUAUCUUUCUAUAACAAUUAUAGGAUCUGGAGCGCCGUAAAGAAGAGCUCGAGUCACUGUUGAUUGUAGAGGGUGCUUGAAUGAGAUUGGAGACUAUAGACCCACAAGAACAUCCCAUUCUUCAAACUAGACGAGCAAGACUUUCAGUUUGAAUGAUAAUCUAAGUCCUAUUUGUAUAAUUGCAUAAUUUCUUGACCGCGAUUAAUUUUCACUAUCUAAUAGCUUACUGCUGUUUGUUGUACAGUUACAUGCGUUAAUCUGCAGUUCAAGUUGCGCUAACCUGAUAGAACUCUGUUCCCUUUAUUUAUUUAUUUAUUUUUUGAGUUCAAAGGAUCAAUGAAAAAGAGAUUUUACAUCUUUUGUGUAACUUUGCUUGAUUGCCAUUUGCUUUGCUAUUUGUAUUUGAAGCGCCAGGCCUAACAUGAGUACGAAUGCAUUUUCAUGAAAUUAUUAAGGUUAUCUGUGGGAUUCUUUAUUUGGUUUUCUAGGUUAUGUGGUUGAUCAAAUGAUUCAAAUUGAUCCACAAUGAACUUGAAAUGAUUCGGUAAGUUUAGGGUUUAACCAUUGUUAAGUCGUGUGUUCAAUACUGCUCACUAAAUGUAUAUUUGAGACUCAUGAGAAUUAGAAUCGGCCAAUUUCAUUUUCUUUCUCCGUGGAACCAUAUUUGAUGCAUUUGUUGAUUGUGGUGAGAAAAACAUACACUCUCUCUUCCCCAAUUCACAUUUCCAUUAAAUGGUUCCUCUACGAUGUUUAUGCUGGUUGCAUUUGGGAGGGUUAUUUCCGUAAUUAACUUUUUAUAAUAAUGGUCUUUUGGUCCAAAUGGGUUUCAACGUGUUCUGUCAAAAUUAAAGUGUAGUAACAAUAUUUUCGUGCACGCCUCAAUUUUUUAACAAUUAUUUUACUAUUGCAAAAUGAAAAACGUCAUUAAAAUGAGAUCUUAAUGAGAUUCAAACAGAGUGAAAAAUAUAUACCAUGACGUUUCACAUUCUAAUCAGGUAAUUUGAAUUAUGUAUGACAAUCCUAAGAGCCGUCACAUUGAUUUGAAAAAGAAUAAAGAUAUUCGAUACACUUGAGCAAUACACUUACAGAUACUUAGGCCCCGUUUGAUUACACAAAAUUUUCCAUAGAACUUGAAAUUCGAAUUCCAACUUUCAUUUUUGGCUUGUUUGAUUGACAAAAUUUUCUAGGGAACUGAUUUUCCAUGAAUUUCUAGGUACAACACCUUAAAGCGUAAUUUUCCACCUUUUAUUUUCCUAGGAUAGGUUGUUUUUGAUUUUCCACCUUUUUUUUUAAUUGUUGGCAAUAUGAACAAAUUCUAGGAACAAUUGUAUAUCCCUGAAAUUGAUAAUUUUCAUGUAAAACAAAGUCAAAUGUACACCAAAAUAUAGAUGAUUUUUUUUUUUUUGGGCAAUGGAAACAAAUUCUAGGAAGGUAGAAGUAGAUAUUCCUUAAAUUGACAAUUUUCAUGUAAAACAAAAUCAAACGAACAACAAAAAACAAUUUUAUUUUAACAUUUUUCACAUGGAAAAUUAUACCAUUCAAAUACAAUAAUUUACAAUUUGUAGGAAAAUAAUUUCUAGAUAAUUCAAUUCCUUGGAAUUCAUUUUUUUUCCACCCAAAUUUCAUCUUCGCAAUCAAACAGACUCUCAAUACACAGAAUUAACCAAUAUGAUUUCAUUAUCUUUUUUAAUAGAAAUCAAUAUUGUUGAGUCCACUUGCAGAAUAGCAUUGAGGAACAAAACAAGAACAUGGAGUUUCAAGGCUUCAUGAUUUCAAAAUCUUAAUUUAUUUUCGGCCUUCACUAAUAAAAAAUAAUUUAAUGAGUAAACAUUCUAAGCCAAAUGUGCUUCCAAAGGAAAGAAAGGAAACAUUACUCGAACAAGUUCCUGUAGGAGAUAUAAAAACCUGUAUGUAUUAUAAUGUCAAUGUGUAUUAACAGUUAUGUACCCUGAGAAGGAAGAGCAGUAAAAUUACAUUAACAAAAUGCCCUUGCUCCAAUAAAACCUAUUCAUGUUCUUAAAGGUUUCAGAAUAACGGGUCUUAACCCUCUUCUUAGCCUUAAAACUAAAAAACUAGCCGAGCUGUACAUGAUUCAAUAAACAUCUAUCAUAGGCAAUUUGGAACGGCCUUCUGCAAAAACAUCUGUUAUAAUAUGGUUAUUUCACGCUGUUCCUCAGAAUAAGACGAGCUUCUUCGUUUUUUUGCAGAUUUCUUUUCUUCUGUUGCUGAUAUAAAUUGCACCGGAUUCAUUCUGUGACUGAUCCUAGUGGUGGAUUCAGCUUCUCGAUAGCAUGAUGCCGGAAAUUUAUCUCUGCAGGAAGGAGGAUUCCCAGUGUUACUAAUGUCUUGUCUCUCAUUUUCGUCCUCAGAAUCCUCAACAACACAUGCUGCAAGUUCUGCAAAGGACAUGGAAGAGUACUCACAUUUGUCCUCGUUUCCAGAAUGGGUUGCAACUUCUGGGACCCAAUCUUCCUCAAUCUGUUCAUCACUUAUGAUUUGAAACGCGCCACCGGAACUCCUUGAAGUUUCCAAGGAAGACUUUGUCUCCACCACUCUCAAACUACUAGGUGAACUCAGGAUGAUCAAAGAUUUAGUGUCUUCAUGGCUGUUUGCUUCAUCUUCCGGUGAAGCAACUUGCUCCCCAACUGCACCCUGUUUGGAAUAAGAGGUCAAAAUAGGAUAAAAAGCUCAGCCACAAAAUACAUUGUUAGCGUUAAAAGCACGUAUAUAAUGCAAUUAAACAACAAAAUCUUGUGGCAAAAAUCUUCAUAUAAAACAUUAAUAAUCUUCAACUCAAAGGCCUGCAUAUGUUUGCUGUAAUCAGAAAGCGCAAAGGUUCAAAGAUGCCACAUGAAUGGAGAAAUUUCAAAGUUCAAAUAUUCCAUGUAAAUAGUUGCAGGAGCUGAUGUAUCUGUUGCAAUUUUAAUUACUAUGCCACAAAGACCACUUCACCACAGAAAGAAAACCACGAGAAUACUGUUACUUUUAGGAAUGAGGCAUUUCAAAUCAACAUUAAACAACGCACUAAUGGUCCAAGAUUUUUUUUUCCAUGCAUUAAAAAGUAAAUGCCAAUUGCUCAUAGAGAAUUACCUCAAUUGGAAAUGUGGGGUUAUUAUAUUGUUCCAUUGACACCAUUUGAAAUAUAUCAACAUUAAACAACGCACUAAUGGUCCAAGAUUUUUUUUUUCCAUGCAUUAAAAAGUAAAUGCCAAUUGCUCAUAGAGAAUUACCUCAAUUGGAAAUGUGGGGUUAUUAUAUUGUUCCAUUGACACCAUUUGAAAUAUACUUGGAUGCAUAGAAUCGCCAUGAACAAACUUCGAUUCUCCAAAAGUUUGCUGCCCACUAAUAAUGGAACCUAUUGGUUCCCUUGAUAUACCGUUUUGGUUAUUAACAUAUGGAGCAUCUUUCUUGGCAUUCUCUCUUACAAUUUUACAGAUCAACUUUCGGAUAUGAUCACGCUUUCGAAGGGACACCUCGUCAGGUGGGAACCAGUUCUUUUUAAGCUGCAGAGGCAAAUAGAUGUUUGCCUAAAUUAUAAUUUGACAAAAAAUGUGAGAAGCAUAUAUCCAUCCUUUCUACUGUAAUGACCAUAGAUAAUUGAACAUCAAACAAAUGGACAGUACUAUAGCAGUCCAGAAACAUAUUGUGUUAAUAUGGAAACUCUAGCAUGUUAGAACAAUUAGCUUCCACUCUGAAUAAAGCUAUUCAGCAUCAAUCGCUCAAGGGUCACUUAUCUUUUGAAAUGCUAACUGAAAAAAUUUCUUCCUCCUACAGAACAGAAGAUAACUCUCCAAGUAUGAACAUAUUGUUACCGCAAUUCGCUAAAAAUUGGGCUUACAAUCAGAAAGGGGAGAACACAAGACUAUUCAAGUUAAUGUAUUAGGGAGAUUAAGAGCCCAUUUGGCAAGGCUUUUGAAAAGGCACAAGCUGCUUCUGAAAUUAAGAAGCUCUUUCUGGUUCUGUUUGAAUAAUUUUCUGGGAGUGGUGUUUUAUCCGGUUAGAAAAGCUUUUUAAAAAAGCUGGCCAAAUGUGAUUUCCUCAUGGAGCUCUUUUACAAAAAGUAGAAGCCUUGCCAAAUGGGCCGUUACUAAUAUUCGAGGUCCAGGUAACCAAUGAGAAAACAACUUACAAAGUUUGGACAUUCGUUUAGGGUUGUUAGGCUGAAGUUACUGGGAACCUGCUCCAAAAAAAGUUCUGCAUAGUGAAGCAAGAAAAGGCCACAAUCGAACCAGUUUUCCUGCUGUGGAAGCUGGAAAAACAAAACCAAAAGACUAAUAUUGACAAUAAUGAUCUGUAUUAAUGUCCUGUAUAAGGAAAGGAGGAAGAUGAAACAUUUAAAAUGAUGAAAAACAUAUAGCAGUGUGCAUUCUUAUAUUUAGUAGUGGUAACUUUAGUUACAUGCACCUUAGAACAGUUUGCAAUCCGUAUACAUAUAAAUUGAUGGCAAAAAGAAAAGUCAAAGAAAGCUAUCUGUCCAGAUCUACUAUGACAAGAAAGCUAAAGUACUAUCCACUGACAUGUCUACAUCUCCAAGACAAACGAUGUAUGUUAAUUUGCGAAGAUAACAUUUGUUGAGAGAGUAAAAGCUACAUUUACAUUUUGGUACUAGUUGAUAAUGAAGGAGAGAGCAUCUAUAAACUCUAAUUUUUUUAUGAACACGGUAAUGUUAAUAAACUUCAUAUUCUCUUUCCUUAUUCCAUCUUUUAUUUUCUUCUUAUAUUGCGUUGGAUUGCCCAAAUUUUCCAUUGAAAAUGUCAUUUUUCCACCCAAAUUUCUAUUUUUUUUUGUUGUUUGAUUGAUAUUUUUUCAUGAAAAAUAUUUUCCUACUUUUGAUCUUGUGACCAUAUUUUUCUUGAAAACAAGGAAAAUAUUUUCUUUAGGGGGAGUAGGUUCUUAUUCCAAGGUAAUAGGUUUUAUUUUUUAAGUAAUUCACUCAAUCUCUCUCUCUCUCUCUACCUACCAAUAAAAAAUGGACAAGUAUAAUAUUUCUAGAUUGAAAAUAAAAUCAAUCAAACACAUUUAAUUGACAAUUUUCAUGCAAAUAAUUUAUAGACAAUUUAAUUGCUUAGAAUUUAUUUUCUUUCCAUGUAAAUUUUAUGUUUGCAAUCAUACACACUCUUAUUCUCCUCUUCAAUAUUCUUCAAUGAAGGAUGAGAAAAUAUGAAAAAUGUACAAAUUAACAAUGAUGAUGAACAGCUCCUUUCACUCCUUUUUUCUUUAUAUUUGCUCCACCUUCUGUCUUCACCAAACCAGAAGAGUAUGAAUUGUAAAAGUAUCUACACUCAUCUACCACAUUGAACUUCAUUCUUCCACCCUUUUGGCUCAAUUCCAUUCCAAAAACAUUAAAAUGCAUUCCUUAAAUAUGAAACGUUCAGAACCUAAUUUGAGUAAAAUAAGACAUAAGAGACUCUGAGGUAAACAUACCUCAAAGUGAUUCACAUUUAAAUCGUGUGAAUUCUUUUCAUCUAGACAUUAUGGGAGAAAAUUUGUACAUUUAUUAUUCAAUUAGGAAAUAUAAUUGUACAGGAAGGAUACAAGCAAUCUUAUUCGCUGAGUUUCUUUAAAAGUGCACGUUGAACUGCUUGUACCCCUGCACAAUAAUGAUUUUAUAGAUAGUUACAGAGGUACACACAGGCAAGAGAGACAAAGAGAGAGAACCUCAAGUGCGACAAAUGGCAAAUUGAAGAACUUCGCUGAAAUAUCUUCUGCCAGUUCCCAAUGUCUGUCUUUCCAUUCUUCCCACAAGUAACUGAUGUUUCAUGACAAGAAAAUUUUACAUUAUCGUGGUAUCGUAAGACUCAAAUCAUGCAAACAUACAAAGCAAUACCCAGAAACAACAUUAAGUGAAAAAAACAUCAACCAAAUACUUGCAACAAAUAAUAUCAAAUAUAACAUAGUUUAGAUGGCAUUCACUUUAAGUAGUUCCAGAAACGGUCAAAGUUUCCUCCCAAACCAAAAGGAAAAGUACUAAAGAUUUGAAUGCCUUCUAAAUCCCCCUCAUGCCAGAAAUUUAGAUGCAUGGUAGCAACUUAUCUAUUUAACAAAAACAUCAACUUUUCUAUCAGUUCAUAUCUUGUAGUUUAACUUGGCAUAGAAAAUCAUGUAGAAAUUAUGAACAUAUGGAUUCAGCUUCCUUUUCCAAUCUUGUUCUUGAUGUCAAACAUAAAGCAAAAUGGAGGACCAUUUAAUUUUUUAACUUCAACUGACAAAAUUGAACAACGGUGGUUGGGAAAUAAUAAUCAAAGAGUUUUGGAAGCAGUUAAUACUAAGACAUUGUUGAAAGAAAAUUGGUUGGAAGUUCAAUCAGUGAGGAGAGGACAAGUGAAUUGAAUACGGUUUCUUUACCUCGCCAUAAAUGACUUAACAAAUUUAUAUAAUUUAUAACAUUGAGAAAAAGACAGUUAACAUGGCCAGUUAGCAACUUUCAUCCACUCACAACCAUCUCUAAUAAAUGUUCGUGAAACUAUGUUGACCCCAAAGGAAUUCUGAAAUAUGACGUUAUAGUAGGCCUCCAUUCACCUUUAGUAAAUGCCACUGACUGGUUUUGAAUAUCAACUUUCAGAAGCUUACCCUUUAAUGAGAUUCUGCAGUCCGGUAUGGCUUCCUUUUAUGGAAUCCAUGUGUAAAAUGCACGGUUUCUUAUAUAACUCGCCCAUUUCUUCGUCUGCAGAAGAGAUAAUUUUAGGUGCGAUGACAGCAGUGAUUAAAUAACAAAUACUGCAAAGAAUGGCACAAAGUAGUCAUACCUCUUAAAUUUUCCACUUCUCCAGGGUGACAGAUGACGAUCAAACUCCAAUGAAGACUGUCAAAUGUGGGGGGGAAUCUAAGAGAGGGCCAAAAUACAAUUUCGAUAUUUAAAUUAUUUUAUUAAUGGCUUAUUACCUAGAGUUAACAGGAAUAAAUAUAUAAUCUUUUUCAAAAAUGUUUACAUUCCUUGUCCAUUUACAAACACGUUGAAAAGCUUUUCUUCCUUCCCAGGUUCUAGAUGAACCUUGAUCCAGACAAGCCAGCUUCUGAAAGAAGAAAGUGUUGAAAAAAUAGAACCUAUGCUGCUCCUUUGGAUUGGUUUUGUUCGCAAGAUACCUGCCAAUUAGUUCCCUUUACAGGUUAAUUAUCUACAACGUCCAUAUAAAUGGUAAACAGGAUAAGUUACAAUAAUUAUAUGAACAUGCACUGAUGAGUAUGAGUUUCCAGAACAUUUCAAUAAAAAUAGGCACUGCAAUAUCUACUCACGUAACGCCAGCUAAACAUGAUACUGGUAAGCUAGACCCUUGCAUCAUAAACAAACCAUCCAAAAUACGAAAAUCAUCAAUAUAAUUGCUUUCAAGUUCUUACUUAAUAUAGAAGUCAAUGAUAGUAUCAUUGAUGAAUGUCUUUGGCUGCAAAACCUCAACAUCUCUACUGCGUAUGGAGAUAGCAUCCGGAUCCCUAUCUGGAUAUAUUAGAUCUUCAAAGGGCUGGUUGGAACUAUAUUCACUGAAAUUCAAGCAACAAAUGUCAUCCAAUCAGUAAAAUUUUUGACACAAAAUAAAAUAGGGCUCCCGGAUCUUAUUCAGAAAUAGCUGACAUUGCAUUCAAUCAUGUGCUAAAAGGUCAACAAUAUUAUCUUAUUGAUAAAUUGAGAAAGAGAAGAAAAAUCAAACCAGGUCACAGAAAGAACAAAAAUAAGAGAAAAUGAAGAAAGUAUGUACAUCAAAAUCAGCAAAAUACAAUAGAGGGGUUGUUUGACAAAGGCUUUGAUAAAAGUUUUAGCAUAUUUUGAUAAAGUUUUGGGUCAUACGAAAUUUGUGGUUAAAAUUGAUGUUUGAUCGGUUGAAAAGUUCAUAAAAUUUUAGUAAGGUUUUAUCAAAUAAGCACAGAAUAAACUUGUGUUCAUCCAAGAAGGAUGUUAAAAUACAGAAUUAGAAGAUCUAUAAAAGUCGAGCAAGUUAACACGUGCAAUAGUAUUCAUAUUUUGAAUGUUCUGUUAAGGAAAACAGGGCAGCUAUGGACACAUGAAGUAUUAAGCAAGGAUAAUGAAGAAAAGAAAUAUCCCACUAGAUCAAGGCACUAUGAUUUAAGAUAUAGUUACUUGAUACUCUACACAUCCAUAAUUAUUGCACCCAUGCACAAGCCUAUGGAAAAAGACAUGGAAAACCAGGACCAAAUCCCCGAACUUAUGAAAGAUCUCUAGUGAACCUCUGAGCUGUUAGUUCUCCUCAUUCAAUAUGGGAUGACAGGUUUUUUCUUCAAACGCAAGAAAAUGGUCUGAGCAAGCUUGAUGAGGAAUAGUAUUGUCCCAGAAGAUCCACAAAAAAUGACAUUUCCUUUUCAAUGUGACUUUGGAAAAAAAUGUUAUUCCAGCUAAAGAAAUCAUCUUGACUAUGGAUUAAACUAAUACGGAAAAUGAUAGAUUAGAAAAUUAGGACUUUUACUCUUUUAACAUGCCCAAGUAAUUAAUAAAUAGACACUAAAGGAAAUUGGAAAAGUAUGGUUCAAAGCACCAAACUGGAAAAGAACAUAAGAGAACAGAUAAAAUGGUAAGAUUCAUCGCAAAUCAAAGAUAACAAAGUAAAGUCUUCAUGCAAAAGAUGAUGCAACAGUUUCUUUGAUGAGCUUCACAUGUUUACCCAACAAACAAACAAUAACUUAAUAAGAUAAGAGGAUCCAGGAAGAAGCAAUGAUUCACUAAUGCAUGAGUACCAACCUUUCAACAGUGCUCCAAGAGAUUUUAUAUUUCAUGUCCAAGGAUUUAAUUUCUUCUAGUUUUUCAGACCAAUGAGUGUCAUUAGAAACUACAAACUCCAACUUCACCGUGCCUGCACUCCUCCAUAAAACAAAAUUAAACGUCAAUCAGCGGAAACCAACUUAUUGCAUAAGGAAUGCCCACGUUUCUCAAUUUUUUAGAAGAAAAAUGACUCAAGAUGCAUACAUCAAGAACUAACGAGGAAAUAUAAAGAACAGGAAAGACAGAAAAAAAUAGAGCAAGGGUAAUACACCAAACAAUUUUAAUUUUUAAGCCAACAUGACCCUUUUGCGAUAAGUAAGCAAGCAAGCAAGCAGCAAUUAGGAAUUUUCAUCCAUUCGGAAGGGCAAAUGAAAGCUGAAUGUGUUGUAUAGAACCAGAAAACAUCAUUGAGGAAGGCAUUCAGGUGAAACGUACAAACCUGCAGCUUUACUAGAAAUUUCAGCUGUGUUUCCUUCAUUGCAUAUUAAUUUAAACGUUACAACAGCCACUUUAACCUACAGUCACGAAACUUAAAAUUUGGGAUGAAAAUCCAUUGUGUAAGACGAAAUUCAGGGAAGUUAGCCAUACUCACAGUUUCACAAAAUUCAUGUUCGAUGUUCACAAUAUUAGAAAUAGGCCAUUCAUGGCAACAAGGUUCCUUUGUCUGCCAUGGGGGUGAACCCUCUAGUUUGAUGGAUUUGCAAGAAAAUGUCAACAAACACUUUGUAUAAUAUGUAUUCCCAAAUUUAACAUAAUUGGGAAUGACAACCACCAUUGUUUCCUGCAUAUCAAAACCAAAAAAGUAAGGGAAAAAAAUAGAUGUCUGCGUAAGAGCAAACAAAGAUCUGAAUGCGAGGAAAUAAAUUUACAUUCUAUUAAAGCUUUCCUAUAGGCUAACUAAGUCAUAUGCAUAGUAUUGUGAAUGAUUGAAAAAUUGGAAAAGGCUCUAGAUUUGAGUUCAAUUGCAUUGAAAUGGAGAUAGGAAUAAAAUAAUUAUUUCCCAGAGCAUCCAAAUAUUUAUACAGUUUAGUUCUACUGACAAAUGAUGUAGUGGUAACAUGCGUACAAUAUCACUUGUGUUGACGCCAUACUCAAAUGGUUGUUCUUCUAAUGAACCUGAAACAUAGCAAACUAUCUGCAAUCCUUAAAGAGUUUUCUGGAAUUAAAGAAAUCCAAGGAAAUUUGCGUGCUUGAAAAGACGUCUGAAAAAAUAAAAAACCUUCAUUUUCUGCUCUGGCAAUGGAAGAAGACGAUCUUAAUCCAAUUCUUAGAUCAUCAUCAGAAUCUACAUCAAGUACCUUAACCUGCAGGAAAAAUAAAAUUGAUCGAUUAUGAAUAUUUAAAGGUCUAUGAUUCCUUGCAGAAAGAACAAACUAAGAAGUCAGGUACAUCAGUUAAACUUUGAGGUAGAGUACUGUCGAAGCAAGUACGCUUCUUAUCAGUUAGGCUGUCUCCAGGUUGUCUGGCUCUCGGUGAACAGGAUUUUGCACCAUCAGAAUAACAUUUGAAAUCAAGUUGUUCUGGAGAAGUAGCCGAUAGUAUAUAGUCUGAAGAACUAGAUGAUAGAGUGCCAUCCAACUGAAUGCUUCUGUCGUCUGCAAGACUGUCAUCAACAUCGAUGACUAAUAAUUUAUUUCCAUAAUCAUUUUGUUGAGUCUUGGAACCUUUUGCAACUACAAAAAUAUAUAUAUUUUUAAAAAAAAAAAUAAGAAAUUAGAAUUCUACGCCAACAUGAUCAUACAAGUUCAAGAUACAACAAAACAAAAAAUAUAAGUUUGAAGAAUAUAAAAAUAAAGCACUUCUUCAAAAUCUUAACUUUUUGAAGUGCUUAAAAAGAUAGGUUCAUAUUUUUUUUUUAUUUUUUUUUAUUUUUUUGAUGACGGGAGAACCCGCAGCCGCUAUCCUUCAGGUGCACACGAGGUAAAUCCUCGAGCUGACGCAAUAGCUUGCAAACUACGUCAGUCAGGUAAACCGCACUAAGCAAGCCCGAUGCAAUAGGCUCGACCGAGAAAGUAUUGGUGGGGAGAAUCGAACUCGUGAUCAAAGACCUCUGCGUUCACCUACUCCAUCAACUCGGUUACCCCAUGAGAGACAAAUAGGUUCAUAUUUAUUGUACAAAAGGAGUUUCAUGGCUAAGGGGAAAGAUGCGCGAGUAACGGUGAUGGAAGAUGAGUAAAUUCCUAGAUCUAAGAUGUGAACAAAAUUCUACCCAUAACACCUGUCAGCUUUUUGUCUGAAUAAGGAAUAUUUGCCUAUUUAUAUAACAGAUCAUAUGAUAGGACACAAAUUGGGAGAACCCUAUUGGUCCAGGUCAUUUCGGGACAAACAAAUCAUUUAUGAUGAAGAGGAUGAUCAGAACAAGCGAGGAUACACGUUACACCAUAAUUUUGAAUUAGAAGAGAGAUUUCAAGAAAUAGCUUUUCGAUGGCCUCCCUUGCAUUACCAGGUAUGAGUGAGAGCAAACAUCUAAUAAUGGAUUCGAAAUUGUAACCAAGCGUCGCCCAUUGGUUCUAUCUACUCAAAAAUCAGUAAAGUCAAAAUAUAUCUUUUCUCUGCGAAUCAUUUUUUGAACAAUGGUGUUAGAAAGGGGCUUCGAAAGAACUCUUAAAAGAAGAAGGAUGCAGCUAGCAUUCUACAAAACUUAUAAGGGCCAUGCAAAUCUUUCUAAUUCUACAGCCCUAUUUAAUUCCAGGCCUCCAUAAAAAAAGAAGGAAAACCCAAGAAACAACAUUAUCAAAAGCAACAUAGAAACAUCAGCCAUCAACCUAUUUUUUGAGAUCUUCAGUUUUACACAAGGGUGUACUGACCAACACUUUAGCGUGAGGAGUGUAAAAUGAUUGGAGUAUAUUAGCUCUCCAUAUAUAAAUACCACUCAUAGUCGUCAUCAAUCCCCUAUUCUAGCAUUUACUUCGAUGUUUCUAUUUAUUAUAUCAUUCGAAAGUUCUAUUUUAGUAAUCCUAUAGAAAUUUAGAAAAUCCUGGCAUACGACAAGACAAUGGAAGAUCAACCUCAAUGCCUCUUGUCUUCCUUUGAAAAAGACCUUGCCUCCUAUUCUUCAUAGUAUUCAAUGUAAACAGAUAGCAAAUUGGUCACCGGCAAUUAGUGGUCAUAAAAAUUUCCAAGUCUAGAUUAAAGUGUGAUCUCCUCCACCAACCAAAAUUUUAACAUUUUUCUAUUUAGAAUUCAUGAACAUUAUAUAAUCACCUCGAGAAAUGAAAAAUCAAGAAAAAAAAUAUUUGAAAAAUCAAGGUAGCCGAUCAAUACAAGGAAAACAAUACUCACACUGUUGCUAUACAUAAGAUCUAAAACCCUACACAUUACCAGCCUCAAACUCAGACAACCUCGUUAUUAGUAUUCAAUCCUCGUUAUAUUGAUAAAAAUCCACUACAUACCAAAAUGUAUCAAACAUUGCACCAUCAGUAUUAAAUUCACUAUUCCUAAAUAUAUAAUGUCAUCCAUCAGAAUAAGUAACACCCUAAACACACACACACACACAUAUAUAAAAGGACUUUGGGGGGCCCCGGGGGGGGGGGGCUAGAAACUUACAGCACGUGAGGAAAUUGUACUUAUCAUUGGUGUUAUUAUUGAAUUUUGCCAUAAGUCUCUCAGCGUGGGCCUCGGUACUCUCAUCUUCGAUCGUGAAAUCGAAAACUGAGAAUUUAUUGCUCAUCGUAGUACCGCUGCAAUUGCUUCUACUUUCGAUAGUAGAAUUCUUCUUUGAUUUUCUUUUUUUCAUCAUCGUAAUUUGGGAGGGAAAAAAAGGGGUUUCGAAAAGUAGCGAAGAUUUAAAAAGUGGGUUUGAUAUAGAGAUUAUUGACGAAUUUUUCAGUUCAUCAGGAUCAAGAUUGAAGUUCUGCCCACGCAGGCAUAGCAUUUGCAUUCUCCUUUUGAGAGAGAGAAGAAAUUACAGAUGGGGUUCCCAACUAUUAAAAAUGUAGCAUGUCCCAACGUGAUAUUUUGGAAGCUGAAUGCCCAACCUUUCAUUUUGUAACAUUUGGGUCCUUAAUUGAAAAAUUUACCACCCAUUUCAGUAAUUAUUAAUUAAAACUCAAUUUUUUUUGUUAAAAAUAUAACUUUACUCUAAAGUUGAAAUAAACGGAAAAAAAAAAAAAAUCAAUAGUAACCUAACUAGUAACUAGUGUUGCUCCCAACUCUUGGUGAAUAAUUUUUAUAGUAAUAUUAUUUAGUCCCACUAGGUACAUAACUCCAGUUUAGGUGGCACUAAUGUAGAAUUAAAUAAUAAGUGAAAUUAAACGAGUUAUUUAAUUUUACCUUUCUUUUUAUUUAUUAUUUAACAUCAAUUAAAUAAUGGGUUCACAUAACAUUACUCCGAUUUUUAUUGUUUUGUUCUCUCUUUCUCUCCCUUUUUUUUCCUUAGUUGAACUAAAGAUAAAAUCAUAUUUUUCUUAAAGAAAAGGUAAAACGUUGCUCUAGGGGCUCAAAUAGCAAAACAAACUUGAAACAUUUCCAAUAGAUUAGAGACCUUAAGUGUAAUUUUCUCUUUGAAAAAUAAAGUUUUAUUGCGAAAUUUAUUGGUUUGGGAUCCGUACAAAUGAACCGGGUGGCCGCAACACAAGUAAGCGUCCAUUGAUCAUAUCGAAAUUAUAAUUUUUCUUUUUUCUUACUAACCAUACGUUUCUAUUAAAAUAAUAUUAUAUACAAUCUCAAAAACUUAUUAUUCUUUGUUAACCACGCAUUUAAAAAAAAAAAAAUACUAUUCAAGUAAGCAUUCUUUGGUCAUGUCAAAAUUAUAAUUUUUUUUCUUGUUAACCACACAUUUUUAAUAAAAUAAUAUUAUGUCCCUAUUUGUUUUCCAUUCUUUCUACAUUAAAAUGAAAAAUAUGAUCGUUAUCCAUCACAUCAAACCAUCAAAUUUGAAUUUCUAUCUCUUGUGUGGGACCCAUAACAACUAUUUUUUUCAUUAUCAUUUUUACAAAAAUGAGAAACAAACGCCCCUCUAUAUAUAAUCUCAAAAAUCAUUCUUCUUUGUUAACCACAUAUUUAAAAAAAAAAUACUAUUCCAACCAUUAAAAUUUCAAUUAAUAGGGCCAAAAGGUUCUAAAAGUUGAUAAAAUUUUAAAAUUAAUUUCAAUGCAUAUUUUAUGUAAUUUAUAACUUUUUAACCUCAUUUUUAUCAAUUUUUAUCAAAAUUUACUAAAAAUUUAAUUUUAAUCUACACAAGAUAUUGACCAAUUUUUCUUUAAUACGAAUUCCCCAAAGGUGACAUUGUAUAAUUUAUAUUAAACAUAUUUUGAUACAAAUUCUUUAAAAUUCAUUAUGAUACAAACAAGUGUUUGUCUAAGAAUUCGGAAAAAACCCAACUAUAUUAAACCUCGGUGCAAGUUAAAAUUUAAAUUUUAAUCUAAAUCAAGGUUAAUAAUUAAAUUUAAUCACAUAUUUUAUAGAUUUUCAACAAUUUUCUAACCACAUAUUUUAUCUACUUUUAUCAAAAUCAACUAAAAAUUUAAUUUUAAUCCUCACCAAAUAGAUGCUAAGGCUUCGAGAUUCAAUUAGAAGUCCUCUCAUCGUCCAAAUUUGAGCAUAGCUUGAUUCAGUACCUAUCAAUGUCAUUCUUGAACCUUUCGAGCAUUUGGUAUUCUCACUAUAAAAAAUAUCAAUAUCAAUUACAACAAUAAAUGAAAAAAUAAAUAUAUUAUCGUAAAUAAUAUUUUCUAUAGAUUAGUGCUUGUCACAUAAAAAUUGCAAUAAAUAAUUUAGUAUGGAACACGCCAUAUCCACCUUAUUGUCGAAUGAAUCCCCCAACCGGUUUCGUGUUGCCUGGAUUGUCAAUGGCAGUUGUCUUUUUCUUGUGAAUGUAUCAAUUUCCUUACUGUCAAAAAUGGAUAUUACUACCUACUUACACGUGGCAAUUAGAUGGUUAGGAUAUGAAUUGGCAGGCAUAAAAUUGGAAGGAAAAACAUUGAGAAGUUGAACUAACACACCCUUCUUCCAACCAACCCAGCCAAAUUUUGUGCUGCUUCUCCACGUCUCAUGUCUAUAUAAACUUGAGCAUAUAGUUUUACGUAUAAUCAGAUUGAGACUGAAACAAUUUGCUACACAAGUGUUAUUGAGUCACUUUGUCUUUGGUCAGAACAAUGGCUUGUAAUAAGCGCACCCCUUUUUUCUUGUUUUUGCUGAUAGCUUUACUAUCUAUAUUUGGAAACACGAUUCAAGCUGGAGCACGACGACUUUCGGAGACCUCGCCUGAGGUUCCGACACUAUCAAAGCCAGAGCUUCCACCAAAACCUGAAGUGCCUACAUUGCCUAAACUCGAGGUGCCAACGCUGCCAAAGCCUGAGCUUCCACCGAAACCUGAGUUGCCAACGAUGCCAAAGCUAGAGUUCCCACCAAAGCCUGAAUUGCCUAAGCCUGAGUUGCCUACUGUGCCAAAGUUCGAGGUGCCAACAUUACCAAAGCCAGAGCUUCCAGCAAAACCUGAAUUACCUAAGCCAGAGUUGCCCACAAUGCCAAAACUUGAGGUGUCAAAACCCGAGGUGGCAAAGUUACCUAAUCCAGAGCUCCCACCAGAACAUGAAUUGCCUAAGCCCGAGGAGCCCACGGUGCCAAAACCUGAGGUGCCAACAUUGCCAAAACCAGAGAUCCCACCAAAACCUGAGAUGCCAACCUUGCCAAAGCCAGAGCUUCCAACACUACCAAAGCCAGAGCUCCCAUCAAAACCCGAAUUGCCUAAGCCCGAGUUGCCCACGGUUCCAAAACCCGAGGUGCCAACAUUGCCAAAGCCAGAGCUCCCACCUAAGCCUGAGUUACCUAUAGAGUCCAAACCCGAGGUACCAACAUUGCCAAAGCCAGAGUUCCCAGUUAAACCCGAAUUGUCUAACUCAGAGUUGCCUGCAAUGCCGAAACUUGAGGUGUCAAAACCCGAGGUGCCAACACUACCAAAGCCAGAGCUCCCACCAAUACCUGAGUUGCCUCCUUUGCCUAAGCCAGAGUUACCUACAUUACCAAAACCUGAGAUUCCAACAAUUCCAAAGCCUGAAAUGCCAACUUUGCCAAAACUUGAAGUACCUAAACAACCUGAGCUUCCUAAACCCACUCUGCCAGAAGUACCAAAAUCCCCAUAAACUACAAAUUUCUAUUAAGUAAUCAUAGUUGGAUUUCAUUCAAUUAUAUUGAUGAAUUUGUUUAGGAUUCAUCCCUUCAUCUUCUAGGAUGAUUUCAUCAUAUCAUGUCAUAGUCAUACUUGUGUUGUUGUUUUGUCAUUAUUUACUAUCUUGUAAUGGUUAUUCAUGAGUUACAGAUAGCCUACGUUUGAUUGUCAUUUAUACAUUUACGAUUUAUAUAUGCUUUUGUUUCAUUUAUUUCAUACGAGUUUUGAGUUUUCUUGAUACUGAUCAAUUUCGUUAUUUUCAAUAUUGGACAAAAUUUUCUUCCAAAAUAAUAGUAUCUUUUCACUUGAAGAACUAUUAUAUUAUUGUAUGGAUAAAAAAAGUCUCCAUCUCUCUCAUGGCUGGCCCCAGACUCGAGCAAAGGGGGUUAAAAUUAUCAAAUAAUCUUCACAAUAUUAAAGGAAAAAAGUUCUGUAAGAGUUAUUUUUUAGUACAGUUGUGCUAUGCGUAUAAUCGGGGUUGACAACCCCGGUUGACAAUUAGACACAUGGGAAGGGGCCCACGUUAAAUAAAAAAAUCGUGAGUCUCCCCUCCUGUGAGUGCAUUGUCAACUGGAGUUGUCAACCCCGAUUGUAAUUUGUACAAGAUGAAUAAUUCUUUUUAGUAUGUCAUUUCUGUAGAAAAUUCUGCAAUAUGACCAUCUCACCUGUAACAAGAAGAAAAAUAAACGUAAAUUUGAUUGUUGAAUUGUUUUUAUUUUCACAAUUCGUUGUAUUUUAGAUACUGCUUAUGGAAUGGAAUUAGUAAUUUGCCCCUGAUUGAUGUUGUAAUAUAUUACUUAAGCGGAAAAAGUUCCUUUUUAUUUAAAUAUUGUUAUCGAAAAUUUAGUUCUUACUUAUAUUCUAAUGAUGUAAUUCUUUGUAGCACAAUUAAUUAUAGAAAAAAAAAAUGAUCCAGUUAUGAUAAUGUAAUCAAUCAGACAUAUUGACGACCGACUUGAAUUUCCUGAUAAAUAAAUACUAAUUUAGUGAAAUAUUGGAUGUGUCGAAGUGACUAUUAUGACAAAAAAUUCAAUUCAUCGACAUCAUUGUGACAAAUUGAUUAAGUAAAAUUUUGUUAAAAGAUCAAUAACGUAUAGUUUGUGCUUACCCAAUUUCAUUCUAAUCUGAAACGCGAUUCAAAAUUCUCUAAACAAUUAAGAUUAACGAGUUUGAAAACAUAAAUUAUAUAUAUCGAUGUAUGUGUUGAGAUAGAUUUCCCCCCCUCACGUCUAUGGAAGCCUCUGAAAAAUUCAUCUUUGUUUGAAACAGUAAGAUCAUUCGUCUAAAUUUGAUUAUGUUAAAUAUUAGCCAGGGUUGUUCAUCGAGAUUAUAGACUAUAAUUUACUUUGGGGCUUAAAGAUGAUCCCAAAAUGUUAAAUAUGCACUUUUUUGUUUACCCAAUUUCAUUCUAAUCAAGAAACAUGAUUGAAAUUUCUCUAUACAAUCAAGAUAUACUAGUCUUCAGAACGUAAGUUAUUGAUGUAUGCGACUUUGACAUGUACAGCACGUGUAAUUGAACUUGAUAUGUGACUAUGAUAUUUUUGUUAAACAAUCCAAAGAAAUAUAAAGAAGAAAAAGGAGGAGGCUAGGGUUUCAUUGAUGCUACAUUAAUUAAUUGAAUGCUAAAGAUAGUUUAACCUAAAUAUAAAGAGAAUAUAUAUAGGCUAAACAAAGGAAACUAAAAGGACUAUUCUACCCUUAAUAAAUAAUAAAUAAUUCUAUAUUUCUUAAUAUUUCCCCUCAAACUCAUGAUGCGGCAGCUACAAGCAUCGAGAGUUUGCCAACUAGAAAAUGAAAACGAGAAAUAGAAUGCGACUUGGUAAAAAAAUAUGCAAGCUGCAAAGAAGAAGAAACAAAGGGCAAAGUAAUUGUGCCAUACUUGAGAUGAUGAUGAGUAAGAUGACAAUCGAUCUCAAUGUGCUUAGUUCGUUCAUGAAAAACCGAGUUGUGAGCAAUCUGAAUAGAACUUUGGUUGUCGCAAUACAUAGGAGUGGGAUGAGAAAGAAAAACUCCCAUAUCUGCAAGUAACCAACGUAACCAAACAAUCUCUUUAUUAGUAGAUGCCAUAGCACGAUACUCUGCUUCGGUGGAAGAUUGAGAAACAAUAGAUUGUUUCUUGCUUUUCCAAGAAAUAAGAGAAUCACCCAAAAAGAUACAGAAACCAGUAACAGACUUGCGAUCUGUGGGAUCACUGCCAUGAUCAGCAUCAGAGUAUGCACGCAGCUCCAAGGAGGAGGUGGAUGGAAGUAACAGACUCUAAAAGACUGUACCCCGAAGAUAUCGCAAAAUGCGAAGAACAGCUGCCCAAUGAAUUGUAGUGGGAGAAGCAACAAACUGACUAACAAUAUGAACAACAUAUGCAAUAUCUGGACGAGUAAUAGUGAGAUAUACCAAGCUCCCAACAAUAGUACGGUAUAAAGUAGGAUCUGACAAAGGUAAACCGUCAGAAGAAGAAUACUUCGCGUUAACCUCAAUUGGAGUAUCAACAAUCUUAUUAUCAGUAAGUCUUGCCCGCUCAAGAAUAUCUGCAACAUAUUUCGACUGAGAAAGAAGAUAACCUCUGGGUGAGAAGGCUACCUCAAUACCCAAGAAAUAUCGUAGAGAACCUAAAUCUUUCAUUUCAAACUGUCUAGCUAACUCUGUCUUCAAAACUGAAAUACUAUCAAUAUCAUCACCAGUAAUAAUCAUGUCAUCAACAUAUCAAGAUAGAAUGAUACGACCUGCAUCAGUGCUCUUAACAAAAAGAGUAGAAUCAUGACUAAUAGAAGCAAAUCCAAGGGAAGAGAUCACAACAGAAAAUUUCUCAAACCAAGCACGAGGUGCUUGUUUGAGACCAUACAAUGCUUUCUUGAGCUUGCAAACAUACUCAGAAUCAUGUGAAACACCAGGAGGGGGUGCCAUAUAAACCUCUUCUUGAAGAUCUCCAUUCAGGAAGGCAUUUUUAACAUCAAGUUGAGAGAUACGCCACUGACGAACUGAAGCUACUGCAAUAAGAAUACGAAUAGUAGUCAUUUUUGCAACAGGAGCAAAUGUCUCCUCAUAAUCCAUACCAUACUGUUGAGAGUAUUCCUUUGCAACCAACCUAGCUUUGUAUCGCUCAAUUGACCCAUCAGAAUUAGUCUUGAUCUUAUACACCCAACGAAAACCAACAACACUCUUACCAGAAGGUAAAGGAACCAAAUUCCAAGUACCAGUCUUAUGCAAAGCAGAAAGUUUCUCAUUCAUAGCUUGCUGCCAAAGAGGAUCAAGAAUUGCCUCUUUAUAGGAAGAUGGCUCAGAGAGACAAUGAAUAGAAGCUAAAAAGGUAGAAAAUGAUGAAGAAUAACAAGAAUAAGCAAAAUCUGGUAACUUUGUAGACUUACAAAUGCGUAUGGAUUGACGUAGAGGCGGAUCCACAAUCUCAGACGGAGCUUGAGGGACCGUAGGAGAAGAGGACGCUUUAGGUGUGCCGGAGAGUAAAGUGUCAGUACCUGCGGAAUGAUUAGUACGAGUUGGUUGUAAAGAUGACGGCGUAGGAACAUGAGAAUGGACAUUUGAAGUAGUAGGCUCCUGAGAAGACAAACUAUCAGGAUUGUCAGAAAAAGGAUCUAUACGAAUAAGAUCAGAUCUAGUCAGACUAUGAGUAGUGGAUGGAAUAGAAAAGAAAGGUAUAUGCUCGAGAAAAACAACAUGACGAGACACAUAAAGUUUCUGAGUUAUUGGAUCAAAACAACGAUACCCCUUUUUACCUUCACCAUAACCAAGAAAGACACAAAUUGCAGAUCGAGAUGACAACUUGUUGCGUUCUACAUGAGGACGAAGAACGAAAUAAGUACAACCAAAAACUCUAAAGAGAGAAUAAUCAGGGGUAUACCCAUACAACUUUUCGAAAGGAGAAAACCCUGAAAUAUGAGAAGAUGGAAUUGUAUUAAUCAAACGUAUAGCAGUAAGAACAGCUUCACCCCAAAACACACUAGGGACAGAUGCAGACAACAAGAGAGAACGAGCAGUUUCAACAAUGUGCCAUUGUUUUCUUUCAACAACACCAUUUUGCUCAGGAGUAUUUGUACAUGAAAUUUGGUAAAUAGUUCCAUCUAAAGCAAGCAGCUCACAAAAUUUAUUAGAAGUGUAUUCCCCACCCAAAUCACACCUAAAACAUUUGAUAACAACAGAAUGUUGAGUUUUAACAAGAGCACGAAAGGCUAAGUAUAUCUCAAAAAAUUCAGAACGAUGUUUCAUUAAAUAAACCCAACAAUAACGAGUGUGAUCAUCAAUAAAAGAAACAUAAUAUCGAUACCCUCCUUUUGUGGCAACAGUAGAAGGCCCCCAUAUAUCAGAAUGAAUCAAAUCAAAUGGAGAAGAAGAAACAGAAAUACUUCGAUUAAAAGGUAAAGCUGAAAAUUUUGCCAGUUUGCAUCCACUACAAUCAGAAAUAUCACAAGGGUGUAAAUUUCCUAAAGCUCCUGUAGAAGCUAAAAAUCUCAAACGAGAUGACGAAACAUGACCUAGAUGAGAAUGCCAUAAAUAAAAACUAGAAGAAGAAGGACUCAAACGAAAUGAAGACAAAUCAACACUAGUAGCGGCAGUAGCAACUGGCACUUUUAGCUCAUCCAAAAUAUAUAGUCCACCCUUCCUACGGCCUGUCCCAAUCAGCUUCUGAGACUGCAGACCCUGCACAUAACAAGAAGAAGAGGAAAAUGUGACUAAAUUGCCAGAAUCACAUAACUGACCAACAGAAGCAAGAUUUAAUGUGAGUUUCGGAAUAUGAUAAACAUUAGGGAGGGAUAAGUCAGGUGUGACAACAGAACCAACACCUGCUAAUGGCAUAGGUGUGCCAUCAGCAGUCAUGAUAGCAAUAGAGGACGAAGGGCACACAGAAGCAAAAGACGAAGAAUCUGGAGACAUAUGAUGUGAAGCACCAUAAUCCAAGACCCAUACAGAAUGUGACAUACCUGAAGAACUAUGAGGCAACUGACCUAUGGAAGAAGCAGACAUAGCUUGAGGCUGUAAGAAGAGAAACUUCUGAAAUUGCUCAGCCAAAGUACUAGGAUCAGUGAUAAGACCUGAUGAAGCUACUGCUGCAGUAUUAGAUUGUGGUGGUCUAUGAGCAUUAGAUCGUGAUUGGUUGCCAGGCUUCCAAGCUUGAGAUUGCUGCUGUAAUUGAUUUGACUGUCUCAACUUAGAACACUAAACCUUCCAAUGACCUUUAUGCUUACAGAAACUGCACUCGUCAAAGGCAACCCUUGUGUAAGGCUUAUUUUGAUUAUUAGAGGAUGGCUUAGAAGACACUGCUAAUACAGAAAGCUUAGAAGCAGAAAGAAUUCCAUUUUCAGCAUAAGACUUAAGACGUAUUUCUUCAGCCAAUAACUCUCUGACAACUGAGUCAACAGAAGGAAGUGGAGAACGAUGCAAAAUUGAACCUCUGAGUCCUUCAAAAUCACUGCGAAGUGCCGUUAAAAAUUGUACCAACCGUUGCUGCUCUCUAUAAGUAAUAUAGGCAGCACAUGCCUUUAAUUCUGUCGAUUCUGUAAGGGCCAAUUGAUCCCAAAGAUCUGUCAUAGCAGAAUAAAACUCCUAAAUACCCAUAUUAUUCUGAUGAAGAGCUCGUAUAUCAUUCUCCAAUUGAUACUGCUUUGCAAAUUUUGACUAAGUGAAUAAUCUUUGCAGAUGAUCCUAAACCUCCUUUGCUGUCUCAUACUUCGCCAACUCUCUACCUAUGGAAUGCUCCACAGAGUUUUUAAUCCAAGUAAUAAUUUUUGAAUUAUUUGAUUCCCAGGCAUCUAUCAAAGCAGCAUAACCCUCAUUAGUAUUCUCAGGUUUCACAGAAGUUCCACUAAUGAAUCUCCACAUCUUUUUACCCUUAAGAAAAUUUCUCAUCACGUAACUCCAAUACGAAUAAUUCUUUCCAUCCAACCUCACACUCACAGACUGAAGGGAAUCGUCUCUUUCAGUAGCCAUAAUAAAAAUAAUAAUAGAUUGCAGAAAUACCAGAUUGCAGAAAUACCAGAUUUAACAGAUUGCAGAAAUGCCAAAAAUAAUUUGGAUCCACGAAAGCUGUGUUUGAGAUUAAGUUUUGUCUCGUGAAAUUUGGCUCUGAUACCAUGUUAAACAAUCCAAAGAAAUAUAAAGAAGAAAAAGGAGGAGGCUAGGAUUUCAUUGAUAUUACAUUAAUUAAUUGAAUGCUAAAGAUAGUUUAAGCUAAAUACAAAGAGAAUAUAUAUAGGCUAAACAAAGGAAACUAAAAGGACUAUUCUACCCUUAAUAAAUAAUAAAUAAUUCUAUAUUUCUUAACAAUUUUAAGGUUGAUUUUGCCCCCUCGCGUGUAUGGAAGUGUGUCUCUAAAAGUUCAUCUUUACUUGAACCAAUAAGAGCAUUCGUCUAUAUUUGAUUAUGUUCAAUGUUAGUCAGAGUUGUUCAUCAAGAUCAUUCCAAAAUGUUAUAUACGCUCACUUUUUAUGGGCUCUAUUUGGUUUAACAUUAGUAUCAUUAAAUCUAGUUGGGAAGGUGAGGAUUGGGUGGCAAUGGACUGAGUUUUAAUAUGUAGAUGCGCUUCUUAUGUCCACCAGCUAAAGUGGUAAAGUUUGACGAGUGACGAUUCACGUACAUAAAUUUUUUUUUUUACAGACACCUUACAGAAUACACAUAGGAUGGGGUGGGUGAGUUAUUUUUUGGAUUAUUUUACUCAGUAUCUGGAAUUCUUCUAUCAAGGAUUUUUCCAAGUUUGAUAGUAAGGUAAUUAAGAAAAAUUUUAACAAAAAUUAAUAAGUAUUAAUAUUCACAUCACAAUUUUUUCUUAUUGCAUCACAUUUUAAUACACAAGUUUUCAGAGUUGGCUCAUUAUAACAUUUAUGUUCUUAACUUUUUCCAUUGAUUUUUAUAUUCAAAUUUUCAUUAAUUAAGACAUCUCAUAUUUGUUAAGUAUUUCAGUCCAAAAAGUGCGGGGGAGAACAUUAAAAAAUUUAUUUACCUAUCAUAUUUACUUGCGUCAAAAUAUUUUUCUCUACGGGCGCGUUUGAAUGCAAGCAUGAAAUUUGCAUGGAAAAAAAUAAAUUUUAGGUAAUUUAAUUGCUUAAAACUUAUUUACAUGAAAAUUAUCAAUUAAAUUUGUUUGAUUGAUUUAAUUUUCAACCUAAAAAAUAUUAUACUUUUUCGUUUUUUAUUGGUGGGUAAGUGAAAGAGAGUUAAUAGAUAAGAGAGAAAGAAAAGGGAAUUCCCUGAAAAAUAAAAUCAUACUCUCUCUAAAGAAUAUAUUUUCCUUGAUUUUGAGGAAAAUAUGGCCACAUGACCAAAAGUAAGAAAAUAUUUUUCGUAGAAAAAAAUGACAAUCAAACAAUAUAAAAGUAGGAAUUUGUAUGAAAAAACACAUUGUUCAUGAAAAAUAUUGACAAUCAAACACACCCUAAGUUUGAAGUAUGAAAAUGGAAUAUUUUUUCAAGAAAUUAUCAUUAACAAUAAGAUAGUGAAAAUUUGAAGAUAAAAAUUCGAUGAAAAAGCUAAUAAUAUACCUACUAUAAUGAUUAAAGCUUGAGAUCAUUGAGUUCAAUUAAAAUAUGAUACAACAAAUGAAAAAUGUGAUUCCAAAUAUAACCACAAAAAAACAAUUCAACCUACCCGCAAAGGCCAUGUUGAAUAAAAAAAUACGAAUAAAUAAAUUUCUACCUUUUCCCCUCCAUAUAUUUUACCUUUUGAUAAUUCAUAUAAUAAAGCUUAACUAAUCUCCACCAAGGACAAUGCAGAAAGUCUAUAUUUGAUUUUGAUUAGUUGAUGUCACUUAUUUUUCACUUUAUUUUCGAUCGUGCAUUCUUAGAAAAAUCAUUUUUUUAAUUUUCAUAAUUUUCUUUAUUUCCUUCAAUAAAAACGUUAAGAAUUUGACAAAGUUGACAAAUUCUCUCACGUAUGUGAGUCAAUUUCACAAUUCUCUCAUAUAUAUGAAUUUUACUUCAACAUCAAUUGAUCAAAGAAAACAAUCUUGUCUCAUAAUGUGACUCAUCAAAACCCUAGUAAGAAAAGUUGAAAAAAUUGCAAGAACCUCAUAAUCGGUCGACACUCGAAAUGGUACUAUAAUUUAUCCAAGUCUAACAUUAUUGAUCGAAAUUGGACCAAAGUCGACAUUUCGAAGUCAUCCUUAAUCCUUGUGAAAGUCAUAUAGAGCCACGAAUCCCAUUCUUUAACAUAUUGCAUAAUUAACAAUGACAUUCGUCUAUUACUACUUACCAAUUUGAGCUUUGAAUCCUUGUGGAUUUGAUUAGGUAAAUUGUCCAUAACUGGCAAAUUAAAACAAUUUUUUUAUCUUGAUCCCAAUGGGACAAUUUGUCCGUAGCAAUUAGAUAGUUAGGGUAUGAAUUAGCAGAUAGAAAUUUGGAAGGAAAACAUUGAGAAGUUGAACUAAUGCUUGCUUCUUUCUACCAACCAAGCAAACAUUUCUGCAGUUUCACCACAUGUCAUAUCUAUAUACACUUGAGAACAUAAAAAUUUAUGCACAAAUCAGAUCAAGAUUGAAACAAUUCUCUAGAAAAUGUUGCUCAGUCACUUUCGUAUCCGUUAGAAAAAAAGGCUUUCAAUAAGCACAUCCCUUUUUUCUUGUUAAUGUUGAUAGCAUUGCUAUCGAUAUGCGGAACAAGAUUCAAGUCGAGGCAUACAUCUCUUAGAAACUUCGGAUGAGGUUCCAACACUGGCAAAGCCAAAUCUUUCGCCAAAACCUAAGUUGCCAACACUGCCUUGUAUGGAGAAUAACCUUGUGCGAAUCCACACCGAAAAGAUUGAAAGAUAACUUCUCUUCCAAUUAUUUUUCUUUCUUCCAGCAGCUUGGUUUUCUUCUCUUUUUUCCCUAGCCAAAGUCUCCUUUAUAUUUUCUAUGUAGCAGCUACAGAUUGAGUUUCUUCCCAGUAGCCUCAGUUUUUCUCUUCUUGCAUACACAACCACGUUUUUGGGACCAUAUGUGUGUGUGUGUGCAACUUUUGUUGACCUAAAGAAAAUAAAGAGGUGUUUGGGCCUUUUAUUCGUCAUGGGCUGGAGCCUAUAUAACAAUUUUCCCCUCCAGCCCACCGAGAAAGAGGUUAUCCUCUAACAAGUUAGUUAGAGUCUAUGUCAGCCAAAGCGGCACAAAGCUCAAGCGUUUCUUUGGUCACAAUCUUUGUCAUCAUAUCAGCUGGAUUCUUCUCAGCUCUAACAAUAUCAACUAUUCUGCUACUACUUGUCUUAACCAAUGAUAUCUCACAUAAAUGUGUUAUGUGUUGGCAUGAGUCAUUAAAAUCACAAGAAAAUAGAAACCUUAGCUGUAUGCUUGUAACAAAUCCCUUAAUUCAAGGAUCCACCAUGAGUUCAGCCGUGUAUAGUGUAUAGGCUAAGAAUAGGUCUUGAAAUAAUUCCUUCUUGUAUCUAUAUAUUCCGUAAAUGUUUCAAAGGAAAAUAUAUGACAGUUUAUAAGAAAAUUCACUCUAUGACAUGGUAUCAGAGCAUGGUCUUGGGCUUCCUGUGAACUGAUAGAGAAAGGGAACCCAAAUAGCUUGGAAUCCAUGGCUGACUCCACCGAUUUGGUAUAGCCACCAAACACCUCCACUGAUUCAAUUCUUGACAACCUUACAACCAAAACGACAGAGGCUUUGACAAAGGUCCAGACCACAUCACAAUUGCCGAAUACCGAUUCCCCUACUGUGCCGAUUAGCAUUAAGUUGGAAAGAUCCAAUUAUGCUAUAUGGUCCCAGGUGGCUGAGAUGUACAUCUCAGGCAAGGGCAAACUGUGAUACAUUAAUGGAGACUUUCCUCAACCUUCUGAAACAGAUCCGAUAUUUCGUAAAUGGCGUACCGAGAAUGCGAUAGUGAAAGGAUGGCUGAUAAACUUAAUGGACCCGUCUCUGGUCGUGAAUUUCAUCCGCUUCCCAAUGGCCAAACAGGUUUGGGACUCCAUUGCUACUACAUAUUUUGAUGGAACUGAUACUUCACAAAUUUAUGACCUCCGGCGUAGGGUAACUCGGAUGCGGUAAGGAGGAGGAUCAAUUGAAAAAUACUACAAUGAUUUACAAGGGCUGUGGCGUGAGAUAGACUUCCGACGUCCUAAUCUUAUUGAGUGUGCAACAGAUAUACAAAAAUACAAUUCCUUACUACAGGAGGAAAGAGUCCACAUUUUCCUAGAUGGAUUAGAUGACCGACUCGAUAACAUUCAGAGCGAUGUACUCCAACUAAAACCUUUUCCACAAUCGAGCAGGCUUAUGCACACGUUCAAAGGGAGGACACUCGCCAGGUUGUGAUGAUAUCUGGGACUGAGAUUAUAGCCAGUGGUGCUGUUAUGGCCACUAAAAGCUCGAAACCUAGCCAACAACCAAAGCUGGUGACUGGGAAACACAACUCAUUUUCCAAGUUGAAGGGUCCAUCCGAUGGAGAAAUAUGUACACACUGUGGAAAUACCAAACACACUCGUGAUACUUGCUUCAAGUUGCAUGGGUAUCCCGAGUGGUGGCAUGAGCUGCAAGCUAGGAAGAAAAGAAACACCACAGCACUUGAGGAAGGCACGAGCAAAGCUGCUGUAGUCACGGCCGGGUCUCAACUCUCGCUUAUCCCUUUAACUGAUUCUUCCACUUCUGUAGACCAAGGUAACUGUGGACAAGUUUUUUGUAGUUCUAAUUCAUAGGAUGCGGGUGCUUGGAUUAUAGACUUUGGGGUUACAGAUCACAUGACUUUUGACCCCAAGGACUUCUCACAUACAACUCAACCACGGUGGACUUGCGUUGCUAAUGCAAACGGAGUUACAUAUCCAGUCACAGGGGCUGGAACCGUGCCAUUAUCACCCUCACUAUCCUUAUCCCAUACUCUCCUUGUCAUUUCAUUAUCAAAUAAAUUAAUGUCUGUAAGUCAAGUAACCGAGGAACUCAAUUGUGUAGUAUUGAUCUAUCCUACCUUUUGUCUUCUCCAGGAUGUUCUCAGCAAGGAGAUUAUUGGGCGUGGUACUAAGAGGAGGGGGUUAUAUUACUUAGAUGAUUUCAGCUGAGGAACAAUACAUCACGUGCAUUAUCAGAUCAGUAGCAAAGAACGGGAAAUAUGGUUGUGGCAUCGUCACUUGGGGCAUCCAUCAUUCGGUUACUUGAAGCACUUAUUUCUGAAUUUAUUCUUACAUUUACAUAAUGUUGAGUUUAAAUGUGAUACUUGUAUUUUGGCUAAGAGCCAUAGAAUUUCCUACCCUGCAAGUUUGAAUAGAAGUAUCGUUCCCUUUGCUUUAAUACAUUCUGAUGUUUGGGGACCCUCCCCUAGAAUUACUCUAUCUGGUCACUGUCGGUUUGUAAUUUUUGUGGAUGACUACACCUGAAUGACAUGGCUUUACCCUAUGAAGACCAAAGAUGAGUUGUUUCCAAUAUUUCAGGCUUUUCAUGGAAUGAUUCAAAACCAAUUUUCUGCCAAGAUUCAAGUUCUUCGGUUAGAUAAUGGAGGGGAGUUUGUCAAUCACCAUUUCCAAGCAUACUUCAAGUAGCAUGGUCUCCUCCAUGAAACCUCAUAUCCUCAGACCCCCUAACAGAAUGGCGUCGUCAAACAAAAAAAUCGCCAUAUCCUGGAGACAACCCGUGCUCUUCUUCUCGUUACACACGUUCCAACACGCCAUUGGGGUAGUACCGUGGCUACAGCUGUAUUCCUACUCAAUCGCAUGCCCUCCAAAGUCUUGCACUUUAAAACUCCCUUGCAAGUGCUCUCCUCUCAUGUCUCUUUACCUAUUGUGCUGAUGCUCCCUCCUCGGGUUUUUGUUUGUGUGGUCUUUGUUCACCUCCACAAAAACCAAUGUCCCAAGCUUGAUCCAUGUGCUGUUAGAUGUUUGUUUUUGGACUACGAGGUACAUAAAAAGGCUACAUUUGCUUUGACCCUACUACUAACAAAACAUAUACCACAAUGAAUGCCACCUUUCUUGAAUCCGAGCCUUUCUUUUCUCCUAUGGUACCCAAUUCAGAUCUUCAGGGAGAGUCUAUGGAUGAAGAGUUGAAUUGGUUAACGGCGGCUCCUGCUACCGAUGAGAAGAGACAAAUAGGAGAGCAUCAAACUGAAGUUGAAGGAACCAAAAAUAAUGAAACUACAAAGCUGGAGGAUUUGAACAUAGCUGAAGUUGAGAGUGAAGAAGUUCCUGUCAAUGGAGAGUCUAUAAACUAAGAAAGUCAAGAACCGCUUCCCUCGAUAGUACCUGACUCUUCUACUGAGAACAAUCCUGAGGUAAGCUCUCCUACUACUGCUCCAUAUGCUGCUAACUCGAAUGCUCUCGUGGAAUAUAUGUUGCCUUUCAGGCAAAAUUGAGGAAAGCCACCUAACAGAUACUCCCCUGAUGAAGAAGAGAGGUGGUCUAAAUGUCCCAUUGCAAAUUAUGUGUCCACUCAACAUCUAUCUGAGCCCAUUAAGAUCUUCACAGAGACAUUAUCCUCCUGUCACAUUCCAAAUAGUGUGGAGGAAGCCUUAGGUGAUCCUAAGUGGGCUCAAGCCACACAAGAGGAAUUGGAAGCUUUAUAGAAAAAUAAUACGUUGAGGUUGAUACCACUGCCUGAAGGAAAGAAGACAGUAGGAUGCAAAUGGGUAUUUUCAAUUGAAUACAAAGCUAAUGGAUCCAUUGACAAGGCAAAGCUGGUGGCGAAGGGGUUCACACAAGACAUACGGUAUAGAUUACACGGAGACUUUCUCACCCGUAGCCAAACUAAAUACUGUUAGAGUUUUACUAUCUCUUGCAGCGAAUUUAGAUUGGCCAUUACUCCAGCUAGACGUAAAGAAUGCCUUUCUCUAUGGCGAUCUUGCAGAAGAAGUCUAUAUGGAUAUCCCUUUAGGCUAUACAUCCUCUUCUGGAACCAAGGUUGUGCGCAAGUUGGAACGGGCAUUAUAUGGAUUGAAACAAUCACCUCGAGCAUGGUUUGGGCGAUUUAGCUCGGCUAUGAGAAGGUAUGGCUUUGAUCAAAGUAAUGCAGAUCACACUCUCUUCCUAAAGUAUCAGCAAGGGAAGGUAACUGCUCCAAUUGUUUACGUAGAUGACAUGAUUAUUACGGGGGACGAUGCCGAAGAAAUUUCAAGACUACAAGAGCAAUUGUCAGUUGAGUUCGAAAUGAAGAAUUUGGGUGGACUUAAGUAUUUUUUGGGAAUAGAGGUGACAAGGUCACGAAGAGGUAUUUUCUAGUCUCAAAGAAAGUACGUGUUGGACCUUCUGUCGGAGGUGGGGCUCCUAGAGUGCAAGCCAAUAGACACUCCCAUAGCUCAAAAUCACAAACUCAUAGAGUACAGGGACCAAGUGCCUACGGAUAAAGGAAGGUAUCAAAGAUUGGUGGGAAAGCUUAUUUAUUUGUCACAUACUUACCCUGAUAUUGCCUAUGUCGUAAGUGUGGUGAGCCAAUUUAUGCAUAAUUCGAGUGAAGAGCAUAUGGAUGCGGUGAUUCGAAUACUUCGCUACUUGAAAUCCUCACCAAGAAAGGGGUUGAUGUUCUCUAAGAAUAAUCACUUGAAUAUCGAAGGGUACACAGAUGCGGGUUGGGCAGGGAUGUUUUGGACAGAAAAUCAACUUCAGGCUACUUUACAUUUGUGGGAGGGAAUUUAGUUACAUGGAAAAGUAAAAAGCAAAAGGUGGCGACUCUGUCCAGCGCUGAAGCCGAGUUUAGAGGCAUGACAAAAGGGUUGUGUGAACUACUAUGGCUUAGAAGGUUCCUAAUGGAGAUUGGCUUUGGUCCUAGCAUGGAGAUGAACUUGUUUUGUGACAAUAAAGCUGCCAUUGAUAUCUCACAAAAUCUUGUCCAGCAUGAUCGAACAAAGCACGUGGAGAUAGACAGGCAUUUCAUUAACCAAAAUCUUGAGGAGAAGAUUAUUCGAUCGAUUUCCUUUUGUCAAGUUGGAAGACGAGUUGGCAGAUAUACUCAUAAAGGCAAUUUCUAGCAAGAACUUUAAUGACUCCCUUGACAAGUUGGGCAUUAGAGACAUUUAUGCACCAACUUGAAGGGGAGUACUGGCGUGAGUCAUUAAAAUCACAAGAAAAUAGAAACCAUAUCUAUAUGCUUGUAACAAAUCCCUUAAUUCAAGGAUCCACCAUGAGUUCAGCCGUGUAUAGUGUAUAGGCUAAGAAUAGGUCUUGAAAUAAUUCCUUCUUGUAUCUAUAUAUUCUGUAAAUGUUUCAAAGGAAAAUAUAUGACAAUUUAUAAGAAAAUUCACUCUAUGACAUUUUGUUUGAGAAUGAUAAGUAACAUUCUUGCUCAAGUAUAAUAUACUCUGACUAUCAUAAUUAAGUACAUACACAUCUAGCUUCAAACCUAAAUCUUAGAGAAACCAUUUAGUCCAAAGCAUUUUUUUCCCAGCUUCAGUUGCUGUAAUAUACUCAACCUUAGUUGUAGAUAGGGCAACAUACUUUGUAAUUUUGACUGCCAUGAGACAACUCCUCCUGCAAAAGUAAUCAAAUAUCUUGAAAUUGAUUUUCUACCAUCAAAUAUCACCAGCCAUAUAUGCAUCUGUAAAGCCAUCCAAAAUUGGCUUUGAACCUCCAAAUGUUAAGCACAUCUUUGAAGUAGCUCUCAAGUAUUUAAAGAUCAAUUUCAUUGCCUCCCAAUGAUCUUUACAGGGAUUAACAAGAAACCUGCUGACUAUCCCAACUGCAUGAGCAAUGUCUGGCUGUGUACAAACCAUGACAUACAUCAAACUCCCAACCGCAGAGGAGUAAAGAAUCUUUGUCAUCCUUUCUUUAUCUUCCUCCUUAGAAGGACAAGUUACCUUACUCAAUUUGAAAUAACAACCAAGUGGUGUCACAACUGGUUUAACAUUAUUCAUGUUAAACCUUUUCAACACACUCUUUAUAUAUUUCUCUUGUGAUAACCAUAACUUUUCUGGCUUUCCUAUCUGGACAAAUAUGCAUCCCCAAAAUUUGCCUUACUGGUUCAAGUCGUUUAAUAAGAUCCUUUAUGUUAAGCGACUUGAACAGAUCUACAUUCAAAUUGUGAAUCAAUUGAACAUCUUGUCCCACUAUCAACAUGUCAUCUACAUAUAGCAAAAAGAUGAUGAAGUUAUCACUAUGAAAUUCUCUGACAUAAAUACAAUGAUCUGCAUAUGUCCUGGUAUAAACAUGACCUACCAUAAAGGAUUCAAACUUCUUAUACCAUUGUCUUGGAGCCUGUUUCAACCAAUAUAAACUCUUUUUCAACCUGUAAACCAUUUGUUCCUUUUCUUUUACUUCAAAUCCCUCUAGCUGAACCAUGUAGAUUUCUUCCUUCAAAUCACCAUGGAGAAAGGCGAUCUUAAUAUCGAACUGUUCAAGCUCAAGAUCCAAACUAGCUACCAAGCCCAAAACCACUUGAAUGGACACAUUUUAAUAACUGGAGAUAAUAUCUCAUCAAAGUCAAUCCAUUUUUUCUGAUCAAAGAUUUUUACCACCAAUUGAGCUUUAUACUUCACUAGAUUUUUACUAUCUUUUUUCAGCUUGAACACCCAUUCAUUUUUCAAUGCCUUUUUACCUUUAGGAAGCUCUGCUAGCUCAUAAGUGUUAUUAUUCUACAAAGAAUUUAUCUCUUUUUGCAUAGCCUUCACACAGUUCUGUCUAUCCUUAUGAGAUUGUAUCUCCUUAAAACAUUGUGGCUCCCACUCAUCUGUUAGCAACACAUAAUCUAAUUCUGGAUAUCUGGUUGAUGGACAAUGCUCAUUGUUAGAUCUUCUGAUCUAAGGUUCUGAUGUAAUAGGCUGCUCUCCCUGCUUAACAUCCUAUAAAUCAUCCUCAUCAAUACCUGUUGGCUCAUCAGAUGAUUACCAACGGUGUCUCUAUCCCCUUGAGUGGCACCAUCCGGAGACAAAGAGACAGCUGUAAGGUCAGUGACACCUUUAUUAACACGUCUUUGAAUCCUCAAUUUCUCAAAAUCUGUCAACUUUUGAUUUUCAUGAAAGAUCACAUCUCUUCUUUUGAUUAUUUUCUUCUUUUCUAGAUCCCAUAAUCUAUAACCAAAUUCUGCAUCCCGUAGCCAACAAUAAUGCAAGGACUAACUUUAUCAUCUAGCUUCAACCGUUGUUCUUUAGCUACAUAUGCAAAUACUUUGCACCUAAAAACCUUUAAACGAGAAUAUAAAACAUCUUUUCCAGUUUACAAUUUUCCUGGAAUCUUAAAAUCCAAAGGAGCUGAUGGAGACCGAUUGAUUAGGUAGCACGCUGUUCAAACUGUUUCACCCCAGAAUGAUUUAGGUAACCUGACCAUCCUUAACAUGCUUUUGACCUUUUCUACAAUGGUAUGAUUUAUUCUCUCUGCUACACCGUUAUGUUGUGGAGUACCAGGAAACUGUCAUAUCAUGUCUAAUACUGUGUUCUGAGUAGUAAUCUUUAGACACUUUAGAUGUGUAUUCCCAUUCGUUAUCAGUUCGGAGACACUUCAAAACAUUUCCACUUUCCCGUUCCACGAUGCCAUGAAACUUCUUGAUGUAUUGGAAAACCUAGUCUUUUAAUCUAAAAAAGAACAUCCACAACUUUCGUGAAGCAUCAUCAAUAAAAGUAAGAAAAUACUUAUUACCACCUAAGGACUCAACCUCAAUGGGACCACACAUAUUAGAAUAAAUCAAAUAAAAAAUAUUAAAUUUUUCACUAGAGAAUUUUUGAAAAGAAACUCUAUGUUGUUUACCAAGUAAACAAUAAUGACAUGAAUUGAUGUACCUCUUGUAAAAGGGAUAAAUGACUUCCUUACCGAAAUCUGUAAUCAUUUCUCGGUCAUGUGAGCCAACCGCUUGUGCCACAAGUCUGGUGAUAAAUCACUUUCAAUUGCAUUCAUCGCUUCACUACACACCUUUGCUUGUGUUUUGUAAAUUGUGCAACAAAUCUUUCCUUUAACAAAUACCAUCGACCCUUUGCCAAAAUAAAUGUCAUACCCUACUUCAUCAAAGGCAUAUGUAGAUAGCGAAUUCAGGAACAUGUCGCACAUUAUUCAAUGUUAAGCUGCAUCCUAUCUGUCUUCAGACAGAUAUCACCAAUUUCCACAAUACUAGCAAACUGAUUUGUAUGAAGUAAAGAACUCCCGUCUUAGAGUAACAUGGUAAGAAGCUGCUAAGUCAAUAACCCAUUCAACAAAUAAAUCUGCAACAUGACACACUACUCAUUAGUGGAAAAAACUGCCACUACUAUUUCUUCAUCUGAAGCGCUAACGGCUGUAUUCUGAUCAGUCUUUUUUCUUCUCCUCUUUCAAUUUAUUUUUCCAAGUCAUGCAAUGUUUCUUUAUAUGGCCCUCUUUGUCACAAUAAAAACAUUUGACAUUUUCUCUUGUCUUUGACUAACUUUUGAAAUUAUCGCAUCCCUUAGGACAUCUGCUUUUGCUCACUCCUCUGUUCUCUGUGAUAAGAGCCUGUCCAUCAUUCCUACCCAAGUUUUUUCUUCAUAUUUCUUCAUUAAACAAACUAUUUUUUGAACUAGAGUAAGUUCAAGCGCACCAUUCGGAGUAGAGUUAAUAAGUGAUACCACAAAAGUCUCCCAACUAUCAGGCAAUGAACUCAGAAGUAAUAGUGCUUGCAUCUCAUCAUAUAGCACUAUUUUCAUUAUGGUCAACUGAUUUACCAAGUCUUGAAAUUCAUUCAAAUGCUCAUCAACUAAUUUUCCCUCUUUUAACUUCAUAUUCACAAGCUUUCUAAUAGUAAAAGCUUUAUUUUGAGUAGUCUUUCUCUCAUAGAGACUCUAUAAUUUUUUUCCAAAGGCUAUGGGCAUUUGUCUCUUAAGAUAUAUGAUGAAAUACAUUAAGGCAACCCAUUGUCUAACAUAUCCAAUGGCUUUCCUAUUCAUCUUCUUCUAGUCACUAUCACUCAUAUUGCUUGAUUUCGCACCAUCACCUUCAAUAGGUUCAUGUAAAUCUUUACAAUAAAGGAUAUUCUCGAUCACAGGUUUUCAAAUAGAAUAAUUUGUAAUGACCGAAGUAUUUUCCAUUUAUUCCCGCAAUAGAUCACACCCACACAACCUGAGCUCUGAUACCACUUUGUUAGGCAAUUUCAUUUAUUGCCAGAAUAAAUUCACCAAUCCAAGCAACCAACUAGAGUGAUUAAAUAUGCAAGUAAAUAAUAAUAGAUUACAAUAUUUUAUGCCUCAAAAUCCACUAUAAUAAAAAUAUAGAUUAUAAUAUUUUAUGCCUCAAAACUUGAAUUCUUAAGAAAUUGAAAGUACCACAAUGAUUAAUCUCUAAGAUAACAAUUUUAUCUCACCACAAAUCACUAAUUUGAUUAAAUUUGUGAGAACCCACUUUGAAUACAGCACCUAUGAAGUACCCAAAAUAAACCUUAGAGAAAAUUCCAAUUUGUAUUAUGUAGAGAAGAAAAAUCUUGUGCGAAUCCACACCCAAAGGAUUGAAAGAAAACUUCCCUCCCAAUUAUUUUUCUUUCUUCCAACAACUUGGUUUUCUUUUGUUUUUUACCGGCCAAAGUCUCUUUUAUAUUUUCUAUGUAGCAGCCACAGAUUAAGUUUCUUUCCAGCAACCUCAGUUUUUAUCUUCUUGCACACACAGCCAUGCUUUUGGGACCAUAUAUAUGUGUACGUGCGCGCCGCUUUUGUUGACCUAAAAGAAAAUAAAGAAGUGUUUGGGCCUUUUAUUCAUCAUGGGUUGAAACCCAUUUAACAACUAGAGCUCCCUCUGAAACCCGAGAUGCCAACAUUCCCUAAGCUAGAACUUCCACAAAAAUCUGAAUUGUCUAAACCGGAGAUACGAACAUUGUCAAGACCUGAACUCCCCACAAAAACAUGAAUUACCUAUGCCCGAAUUGCCUACAAUUCCCAAAUCUAAGGUACCAACAUUGUCAAAGUCAGAACUUCCAUUAAAAUCUGAAUUGCCUAAGCCCGAGUUGUCGACAUUAUCAAAGCCAAAGCUCCCACCAAAACCCGAAGUGCCAAUAGUGCCAAAACUCGAGGUCCCAAUAGUGCCAAAGUCAAAGCUUCCACCAAAACCAUAAACUGCCUAAGCCAAAGUUACCCACAAUGCCACAACUUGAGGUGCCUACAGUGCUGAAACUUGAGGCGUCAACAUUGCCAAAAUCAAAGCUCCCACCUAAAUCUGAGUUGCCUCUGUUGUCUGAGGCGGAAUUGCCAAUAGUUCCAAAACCCGAUUCCUAAGUAGCUUGAACUAUCCAAACCCACAUCGCCAGAAGUACCAAAAUCCCCAUGAAUAGUUUAUUUCAACUAAAUAUCUAAUAGUUUGAUUUCAUAUAAUUAAAUUGAUGGAUUGGUUUAAGAGUCAUCGAAUCAUCUUUCAAGAUUAUUCUUUCGUGUGAUAAUUGGACUUGUCUUAUUGCUUUGUCAUAAGAUGUUGUCUUGUCAUUGUUGCUAACAUUGAGUUUAUGAGAGCCUUUGUUUGAGUGCCAUUAAUUUCAUGUAUGCUUUUGUUUCAUAUACAUUUCCUACAUUUUCAAGUUUGCUCAAUUUUAGCUAUCAACGAUGAUGCUAUUGAUGUACAUGCCCAUGAUAAUUCUGGACGAUGUUUCUCCUUGUCGGUGUGAGGCCCCAAAAAAAAAAAGGAUUGCGUUGGGUCAACAAUCAAUGAAUAAUAUAAUGUAUUAUGACAAUAGAAAAAAUCUUCGCUUAUAUUUAUUAUAGUCUGUCUCAAGUUCGAAAAAUAAUGAAUAGUAGUAAGUUGACUACUGGCAUAAAAAUGUCAAAUAUUAUGGCAACAUUGUCGCAUGGAAAAAAACAUUGUCAGUUAAGCUCAUGUUUGGGGUGAAUUAAAAUAAGAUAUUUAGAAAAUUUUAAUCAAAAUUGAUGAAAUAUAUUGUUGAAAAAUUGUGUUUCCCAUAAAAUAUGUGGUUCAAAUUCAUUGUUUACUCAUAGUCAACUUUGUUAUCUUCUCGUAUGUCAACUUUGUAAAAAAUAUAAAUCUUGACCAUGUAUGUUAAUAUUGUUUGACAACAAAAAAAGGAGAUAAAAGAAGAAAUAAUAAAAAUAAAUUUGAAACUCCAAAUUCUGCACAAGAAUUCACUUGCAAAAGUUACUGUUUAUACAAACACAAGAUCUUUUGUGGUCUCUGUAACCGUCUAUAGCCAAACAAGUUGAUCUUUACAGCUUACUAGUUUUACAGUGUUCAUAUAAUUAAGUAAUCCUUUUACAAGACUACCCAAAAAAAUGUUGAAUUGUUUUUGAUUUCAGUCGUUUGUCUUUUAAAUGUUAGUUAUGGGAUGAAAAUUUCAAUUUUCAACUGAAAUAUGACGAUGAAAUUUAAGGAAUAUACCUUUCAAAGAGAGAGAGAGAGAGAGAGAGAGAGAUUUAAGGAAUGUAACAUGCAACAUUAUCUAUGAAGGAAUUGAGCAGUUCAAUUGACAUAGUCGAUUAUCGAAUAGACACGAAAGGAACUUCUCUAACUGCAAAUGCUUGACUCGUCGUAUCUCUCAACCGGGUGGAAAGCCUAGAAGCCGGGAAUCUUGUACUCAUAUUAGUUACCUGUAGUAUAGUUCUCUUCUUAUUUUGUUGGUUGAACUCUUUUAGUCAUGAAUAUGCAAUUUGUUAGAAAAAUAAACAUGCAUUUAACCUAUUUAAUUUAGUUUCAUGAAUUCAGAAGUUUGAAAUACGUGUAUUAUUAAUUAAUAUGCAUCUAGUUAAUUGUGGUUCAUGUAUGCAUGUAUUAUUAAUUAAUGUGUACCUAGUAAAUUGUGGUGCAUGUAGUAGAAUUAAAUUGAGGGGAUGAACUUAUGUGAUAGGAAGUCCUAUAAAUACCUAUGUAAUCUUGAGUUGAAUGUAAGUCCACAAUUGAAUAGAAAAGCAUUUCCUCCUCCUAAGUCCACUUCUAUUUCCUACAAAGUGGUAUUAGAGCCACAAUACUAGAAACAAUGGCAAAUACCAACAUGAUUCCCUUCCAAGUUCCAAAAUCGUCCAAAGAGAAAUUUGAUAAUUGGUGCAUCCGCAUGAAGGCACUACUUGGUGCACAUGAUGCAUGGGACAUCGUGGAGAAUGGUUAUGAGGCUCUCACCAAUCUAGCUGCUCUCACCCAAGCACAAAGGGAUCUUUUACAAAACACUAAGAGGAAGGAUCAAAAGGUUGUUUCUUUUAUUCACCAAGCAUUGGAUGAGGCCACUUUUGAAAAGGUUUCUAAUGCUACUACAGCAAAACAAUUAUGUGUUAUGCUUCAAGUUGCCUGCAAAGGAAAGGAGAAGGCAAAAAAAGUUCACCUUCAAAAUCUACGAGGUGAAUUUGAAGCUAUUCAAAUGAAGGAAUCCGAAAAGGUGUCGGAUUAUAUUUCAAGAGUGGUGACCGUUGCAAACCAAAUGAAGAGGCUUGAUGAAGAUGUGACCGAUUUAAGGGUGAUUGAGAAAAUCUUUAGAUCGGUUAGUGAGAAAUUUGAUCGCGUGGUGACUGCCAUUGAAGAAGCGAAGGACUUGGAAGAUAUGACAAUUGAAGAAUUAUGCGGAUCAUUGGAAGCAUAUGAAGAGAAGCUUAAUCGAAGAAGGAAGGAGCCAUUGGAGCAGGUUUUACAAUCAAAGCUCACAUUGAAAAACAAAGAAGAAAAUGGAAAUACAAGUUUCAAAGGACGAGGGCGUGGAUGAGGCUUUGGAAGAGGAUGAAGAGGUAACCAUAUUUCAUUUCAAUGUAGAGAUGAAAAUUAUCAAUCCAACUCAACAAGAGGACAUGGCAGAGGAGGAGCAAGACCAUAUCAAAAGAGGUAUGACAAGUCACAAGUUAAAUGUUAUACUUGUCAUCAAUUUGGACAUUAUUCAUGGGAAUGUAAAAGUGGCGAUGGUACGAAAGCUAACCUUUCUCAUGAAGAAGAUAUAGAAAAUAAUGAAGAGAUAGAGUCUACUCUUUUGAUAGUUUGCAAGGACUUGCAGCAAGGAGAAAAACAUUCUUGAUUCCUUGAUACGGGAGCUAGUAAUCACAUGUGUGGGAACAAAGAUUUGUUCAUAGAGCUUGAUGAGAAGGUUGGUGGCAAUAUCACAUUCGGGGAUUCCUCCAAAAUCUCAGUAAAGGGGAAAGGUAAAAUCUUGAUACGUAUGAAAGAUGAAAAUCACCAAUUUAUUUCAAAUGUUUAUUAUGCUCCAGAUAUGAAGAGUAAUAUUUUGAGUGUUGGUCAAUUAUUGGAGAAAGGUUAUGUUUUGUUCACAAAAGGUUGCAGUGUGUUUUUAAAGGAUGAUGCAGAAAAUUUGAUUGCUAAAGUACCUAUGGCGAAAAAUCGUUUAUUUGUGUUGUCCAUACAAACUGAUAUGGCUAAGUGUUUGAUGUCUUGUUAUAAAGACUCAUCAUGAUUGUGGCAUUUACGAUUUUGGCACAUAAAUUUUGGAGGGCUCAAAAUAAUGGCUAGCAAUGGGUGGUGAAAGGUUUGCCUCCAAUACAUCAGCCAAAUUAGCUUUGUGAAGGGUGUCUUUUUGGUAAGCAGUCAAGAAAGGUCUUUCCAAAAGAAUCUCAAUCGAGAGUUUCAAAGCAACUACAAUUGAUACACACUGAUGUACGUGGGCCAAUCACUCCAUGUUCUUUUGGUAAGAACAAAUAUUUUCUUUUGUUUAUUGAUGAUUUCAAUAGAAAAACAUGGGUGUAUUUUCUAAAAGAAAAAUCGGAGGUGUUUAAGUGCUUUCAGAAUUUUAAAACUCUUGUGUAAAAAGAAAGUGGAUUUAAAAUCCAAGCUGUGAGAUCAGAUAGAGGAGACGAAUUCACUUCCAAAAAUUUUCAAGACUUCUGUGAUGCCAAUGGAAUUCGUUGGUUCCUAACCGCUCCAGGAUCUCCACAGCAGAACGGUGUUGUUGAACGAAAGAACCGAACAAUUCUCAAUAUGGCAAGGAGCAUGAUGAAGACAAACAAAAUGCCAAAAGAAUUUUGGGCAGAAUCUGUCGAUUGUGCUGUCUAUUUGUUAAACCGGUGUGCCACAAAGGUUUUAGCCCACAAGACUCCACUUGAAGCAUGUAAUGGGAGAAAAAUAGCAGUGUCUCAUUUGAAGGUAUUUGGAUGCAUUGCAUAUAUCCAUGUUCUUGAUGAGAAGCCCUCGAAACUUGAUGAUAAGAGUAAAAAAUGUGUGUUCGUUGGCUAUGAUUCAAAAACAAAAGGCUACAAGCUCUAUAAUCCAAGUGAUGGGAGAAUGUUUAUUAGUAGAGAUGUGGAGUUUGAUGAGGAAACAACAUGGAAUUGCCAUGUUGAAGAAGAUAACUAUGAUUUUUUUCCUUUCUUAGAAGAAGAAGAUGACAAUGAAAAAAUACAUGAGACCACCACUCCUCCAACAUCACCAUCACGUGGUGAAAUUGAUGUUUCUAAAGGAAGUUCAAGUGAAAGGCCUUUGUGUACAAGGAUGCUUGAUGAUAUAUAUCGAGAAAUUGAGAGAAUUGAUGAUAUUACUUUCUUCUGUCUGUUUGUAAAUAUUGAGCCCAUAAGUUUUAAUGAAGCUGCUGAGGAUGAGAAAUGGAGAAAAGCCAUAAAUGAAGAAAUCGAAGCAAUUGAGAAGAAUAAUACUUGGGAAUUAACAACUCUUCCCAAGGGACAUGCUGCCACCGGAGUUAAAUGGGUGUACAAAACUAAGAAAAAUUCAAAAGGAGAGGUGGAAAGAUACAAAUCAAGACUCGUGGUGAAAGGAUACAAACAGCAUCAAGGCAUCGAUUAUGAAGAAGUUUUCGCUCCAGUAGCUCAGUUAGAGACCAUACGACUGAUAAUUGCUUUGGCUGCUCAAAACAAAUGGAAGAUUUUCCAAAUGGAUGUUAAGUCAACCUUUCUCAAUGGCUAUCUUGAAUAGGAGGUCUACGUGCAACAACCCCCCGGCUUUGUAGUAAAAGGAAAUGAGGACAAAGUGUUGAAAUUAAAGAAAGCUCUUUAUGGCCUAUAGCAAGCACCAAGAGUUUGGAAUUGUAGAAUUGAUAAAUAUUUUAAGGAGAAUGGCUUUACCAAGUGUCCUUAUGAGCAUGCUCUCUACAUUAAGGUGAAUGCCAAUGGUGUUCUGAUUGUUUGUUUGUAUGUCGAUGAUCUAAUUUUUACAUGCAACAAUCCAAAGACAUUUGAAGAAAUCAAGAGAAAAAUGUGUUAUGAAUUCGAGAUGACGGAUUUAGGACUUAUGUCCUAUUAUCUUGGGAUAGAAGUGAAGCAAAUGGAGGAAGACAUUUUCAUCAUACAAGAAAAUUAUGCAAAAGAAGUUCUACAGAAAUUCAACAUGAGUAAUUGCAAUCUAGUUAACACUCCAGUAGAAUGUAACAUCACGCUUUCUAGAUAUGAUGAUGGUGCAAAGGUGGAUCCAACCUUGUUUCGAAGCUUAGUUGGAAGCCUGGGAUAUUUAACUUGUACAAGGCCGGAUAUAUUAUUUGGAGUAGGACUGGUUAGUCGUUAUAUGGAGGCUCCAACGACAACACAUUUGAAAGCUGCGAAGAGAAUUUUAUGUUACAUCAAAGGUACUCUUGAUUUCAGGUUACAUUAUUAUGCCUCUAAUGUUUUCAGACUUAGAGGUUUCAGUGAUAGUGAUUGGGGUAGCGACAUGGAUGAUCGAAAGAGUACCAGUGGAUUUGUUUUUUACAUAGGUAAUAUAGCUUUUACUUGGAGCUCAAAGAAGCAACCAAUUGUUACUCUGUCAACUUGUGAAGCUGAGUAUGUUGCUGUCAGUUCUUGUGUUACACAAGUAGUUUGGCUAAGGAAUUUGUUGAAUGAGCUUCAUUUUGCACAAAGAGAGCCUACCGAAGUAAGUGUGGAUAACAAAUCAGCCAUUGCUUUAGCAAAGAAUCCGUUGUUUCAUGAACGUAGCAAGCAUAUAGAUACCAAAUAUCACUUUUUGCGUGAAUGCAUUGCAAACAAGGUAGUGAAGAUUAAUUUUGUGAAGUCUCAAGACCAAAUUGGAGAUAUUUUCACCAAAGCUCUCAAGUUCAAUACUUUCAAGGCAUUAAGAAACUUGCUUGGAGUAUGCAAACUUCAUAUUUAAGGGGGGGGGGUGUGUUAGAAAAAUAAACAUGCAUUUAACCUAUUUAAUUUAGUUUCAUGAAUUUAGAAGUUUGAAAUACAUGUAUUAUUAAUUAAUAUGCACCUAGUUAAUUGUGGUUCAUGUAUGCAUGUAUUAUUAAUUAAUGUGUACCUAGUAAAUUGUGGUGCAUGUAGUAGAAUUAAAUCGAGGGGAUGAACUUAUGUGAUAGGAAGUCCUAUAAAUACCUAUGUAAUCUUGAGUUGAAUGUAAGUCCACAAUUGAAUAGAAAAUCAUUUCCUCCUCCUAAGUCCACUUCUAUUUCCUACACAAUUUUCCCUCCCAUUCUCUACUUUGCUUGGUUCCGAUUAUAAAUAAAGUUUGGUAGGAUACAUUCAAGGUGAACUAGAAAUUUAAUUUUAAGAGUGUACAAUAAAUUUCGUGCAUAAAAAUACAAAACUUUUAUUUUUUUGAAAUACAAGAUAGAUUGAUCACGAGGCUUUCUUCCGGAAUUUCAAGUCUUGAAGACAAGGGGCGAAAUGACUUGCUUCCUGAAUUUUGAAUCUUGAAUUUGAUAAAUAUGGACUUGUUGAAGACUUUAAUAUCUAGAAUUUGACUUGAACUUGCUUUGAUGUAAAGAAAACUUUGAUCUUCUUGAAUCCCGAACUUGGACUUGAAAAAUUUUGUUCUUUUCUUCCUUUCUUCCUUCAGAUUUUGAAUUUUCUCUUUGACUGAUUUUUCCUAAACGUGGGUCUUUUUCUCAUGCACUUGACUUGUGAUUUUUCUUGUACAUUAGAUCCUAUUUAUAGGAAAAAAAAUUUGUAACAAUCCUUAUUUAUAUUUAAGUUUACUAUUAAAUAAAAAUUAAAUAAAUGGACUUAGUUUCUGUUUAGUGGUACUUUACAUUAUAAUUUAUUUUUCAUAUUUAUUUUUAACUACACAUUUACACAAUAAAAUAUUCUAUAUAUAAACUUAAAUUUUUUUCUACAUUUUAACCACACCACACGUUCUCCAAAUAUACUAAUAAUAUAGUUUUUUUUUGAAAUAAAAGUCACCAAACAUGACAUGGCUUAAUGGACUUUUAGACUUCAAUAAACUCAAUUGAGCUAGUUGAAAUCGACCAAAUUCAUUUAAUUAUUUCAUAUAAUUUUUAAUGUCUACAUAAAGUUUCUUAAAGUUACUCACCAACCUUUUUCCGAUAAAUCAGAUUCAAUAACUACUUUCCAACUGAAAUUUUCGGUCCAUUGUACGGAUUGUGCAGAAUGAAGUGAUUCAUGACCCCUAUUAUAGCUUCAAUAAAGUCAUAAUUACAGAAAAAUUUAACAGAACUUAUAUCAACACUGACAUGGCAAAAUAUAAGUGGACUGUUUUUUUUCUUUUUUCUCAUAUUCCAAUGAUGUCACGCCAUGUAUUAUCUGUAAAAUUUUUCUGUCAAAAAAUUCUGUACUUGUAGCAUGAUUCUUAUAAUUUAUGAGAUAAUAUAACUUAAUAAAAAAAGAAAAAAAAUUAAGGAUUCGACAUGUUUUUAACUAAGAAAAAAUAUGGUUUUUUGUCACGAAAAUAUUUGUUUCGUUUGAAAUUAUUGCAAAUGCACUACUCGUUAAUAAAAUGAAUUUUUGAGUCCAAGUAUCAUACACACAGAGAUUAUAUUAGUUCAAAUUCGAAUUAACUUAAUCUUGACCGAAACAAUAGAAAUUUGUGAUUUUUUUUCUAUAACUAAUUUGUAAGUAAAUAAUUCAAUUAUGAACACAAGACCUAAAUUAAAAUGCAAAGAUGUUAUUAAUACAAAUUUGAUUAAUAUAUAAUGAUAAAAAGUGUAUAAGGAUUCAGAAUUCUCUUGUAUCAACCCCCUUUAACCCAACCUUAUAAUUUGACAAUACGAUUUAAUUACAAAGAUCAAUAUUCCUAAAUUGUUUAACAAUUUCUCGCAUGUGUACAAGCAUUAUUAGAGAUUUAUAAAUAUUUAAAGAUCACGUGGAGUAUAUAAGUAUAUUUCUAUCCCUAUCGGAUCUACGAUGAUUAACGCCAUGUCUAACUUAUUUUCCAUCUUUCAAAGGUAAAACAGGCCACAAUAUCCAUACAAUCAUUGUGCGCAUAAUUGUAAAAAAGAUAAUUCUAUGAAAAUUGUUUAAUAAUUGAAAAUGUGUUUGAAUGUCAAAAAGAAAAACUAAGAAUUAAAUAUUAAUGAUACAAGAUUCAUCGUAAUCCUGGCACUAUAUUUGUUUAGCCUAACUUGUUGUGAACAAAAUAGCAAAAAUGAAUAAAUAAAAGUUGUUCAUUAUCCGAAAAUUCUUGAAAUUCAAUUUUGAUGUGUUCUUCAAUUCUUUUUAUAAUCAGUUCUCUCCCUAUAUAUGUGAGUUGGUACUUAUACUUGUCUUCAAGGAGCCCUAAAAGUCUCUUCUUUGUUGGAUUGAAAUUCUCAAAUGAAAUAAAAUUAUCUUGCCGAAUUGGCCUAGGAGGGUGCCCAAUAGGAAAGGGGGCUGCCGCGGCAUAUUAGGUAGAGUAAUGCUGUCUACCAGGGUGAAGCUUACCAGACCUUGUACAUGUUUCUCACAAUGAGGUGGGCCCAUGUCGGACCCACAUGCAAAAAAAAAAAAAAUUGUAAAAAAAACUGACCCUCUCUGCCUUUGUGUGAGGCCCUGUAAGACCUCUGGCAGAGGGGGCCUGGCAAGGUAGAACGACCCUAUUAGGUAGCCCUUGUUAUUGAAGUUAAGGGCUAGGCAUAUAACUAGGCCGGUGCCCUGCUAUAAAAACUUUAAGAAGUUUCUUUUUGGCCAUUUUCUUCAUUAUUUUUUCCAUCUUGGUCAUCCACUUUAAAUUACUUUGAUUUUGGUCCUUCAACUUUUACUCAGAUGCAUAUUAGUCUCCAGACUUCCAUCUAAUGUCCAAUUGAUCUUUCUUUCUUUUUCAAUUGCUUAGAAAUGGGUCCAAAAUUGAAAUAAGAUAAAAUUAACCUCAAUUAAGUAAAACUUAAAACGAUACAAAAGCUUAGUAAAUAGGCUUGGAUAAGUGCAGAAAAUGCACUUAUCAGCAAUUUUCUAAAAUUAAAUUAUCACUUUAAUGAAAUAAAUUAAUAACAAAGAAAGUCACCAAUUUUUUCUUUUGUGUGAAAAACCCUCAACAUGACGUGAAAAAGUAAGAGACUCUAUUAAUCCCUAUAUUUUUAAUACUAAAUCGAUGAACAAUAUCGUUUGUUUUUCUUAUAAAAACAAAUGAUUCUCACAACAUUCGAAAACUUCUUGUCAAUAGUACCUUUUAUAAUUUUUAUUCAAAUUAACAUAAAUUUUUACAAAUAUUAUAGAAAUAGAAAGUUUCGAUAUCACCAAAAUAUCAUCAAUACAAGAGAGUACUCUAUGAUUCAAGUGUAUAUACACAUCUGAUCAAGACAGUCGCUUUGAGCGGCUCCUAUUGAUCGAAACAUGGUACGUACACAAUUUUACCUACAAUCUUAAAUGUGCCCUAAUUAGAAACCCUUCAAUAAUAUACAACCAACUUGACGGCAUCUAAAAGUGUACUCACGAGCAGUUGAAAUUAUCAUAAAAUUCAAUGCAAUAUGGGCCCUUUUUGUACCACACUCUCAUCAAACAAACACAAUAAAAAGGCUCUCCAGUCCUUACAUUCUCACUACAAAAAAAAAUCACUCAACUGCUAUUUUUGCUUAUAAUCCCAAGUUACAAGGCCUAAUUUUCUAUUGAUUAUGGCUUCAUACAAGUGGUUCAUCUUCUUCUUUCUCAUUGCUCUAUCUUUGUCGAGUCUUGACAAAGUAUCAGCAGGUCGACCUCGUCACUUGGCACAAACAUCAAAUUAUCCCAGUUUGUUCGCGCCUCUUAUCCCCAACUUGCCACCAAUUACAUAUCCUCCGUUCCCUUUCCCUCCCACCGGUCGGCCCACUGUUCCUUAUGUUCCAUUUCCAAAUGUUCCACCUCCAGCAACUACUAGUCCAUGAAGGCAUUGUUUUCAGUACUCGACAUGACUCGAAAAUAAGAUUGUAGCUUUCUUAUCUACUUAAAUAAAUAGUUUGAGUACGUUACAAUUUAAAUUAUGAUGGUGUAAAUGUGUGCAUGUAUUGCUGUAUCUUUGUUAUCUUCUUCGUUCUCGUGUUUUCUACUGAUGAUUAAGAAUGAUCUAUGUUUUCUGUUAUAUUAAUAAUAUUGGGUUAUUGUUUCUGUGACGCGUAUUUUCUUGUUUUAAUUUCUUUGCUGAUAUGUUUAUGAUUUGGAACUUAAAUUCUGCUUUGUAAAGCCCUUUUAGUGUCGUGAAACUUUGUACGUUAUGUUAGGAAAAUUCUCCUACUAUUUCAUGCAAGAUUUCAUAGUAAACUUCUGAUGCAGUCCAAAAACACGAGAAUGCC
RNAcentral lists this long non-coding RNA (52205 nucleotides) under Olea europaea (common olive). RNAcentral's name for it is "long non-coding RNA (OEUR_LNC005889)". The record is from RNAcentral. Lineage: Eukaryota; Viridiplantae; Streptophyta; Magnoliopsida; Lamiales; Oleaceae.